AAAAAAAAAAAAGAAACUGUAGUAAUUAAAACUCAUAUAGUGAGGCAUUGAGCAUUGAGUUAAAUUGCAAAAUAAAGACUAAGUUCACCGUAUGUGGAAAGGUGAUAUAUAUGUGUUGUUAUAUCUGCACAAGUAAAUGGAAAACUUGUUAAGAUACAAUUAAGAGCAUGGAUUUAAUUGCUAUAUUAUUGUUCUUAUUUUCCAAAAAGUAGUUUCUUUUUUAAAUGGUUUAUAAAUUUAAAUUAAAAACCAAAUUGGAUGUUGUAGAAAAAAUACAAAUCAAAAUAAUUCCUAUGUAAGAGCUGAAUGAUGCGAGCUAAUUACAUUCAUAAACAUAAACCUAAAGACAAAAUUAAAAUUAUUAGUGUUCAUGGUUGGAACUUGUAUGCGUUUGUUGUUGUGGCUCGUGACUUGAUUUUCAAUUUACUUUUUUUUUUUUUGUUCUGUCUCACUUUUCAAGUUGACAUGCUUAAGAGAUUGUCUCAUCAACGUGGCAAGCCUACUUCACUCUAAUACUCAAGCUAUAUAGUAUAGGAAGUAUAUGGUUUAACAAUGCACAUAAAAAGAAAGGUUAGAGCUCUCAUUUGAAGAUUACUUAAUUCCUUCCUUUUGGAGUCGUUGAAUGGGGCUAUUUAUUGGUCUUUCCUCUUAAAAUCGUCUUUGAUUACCUAAAACACUUAUGAUAUCAAGCUUAUUUUUUAUACUCAAUGUUGCACAGUGCGAGACAAAGCACUGAGCACAUUCGAUUAUUUUUCAAUUGGUAUAGGUUUUACUGGCUCAGUUGGUCAACCAAAACCUUGAGGCCAAUAUUCCCAUAUGCUUCUUUAUGGUACCUCUAUAUAGGCAUUAGAUUUGUUGUAGGAUUUAGGCUCUGUCGUGGGUAACACUUAGCAAAUUAGUUCAUUUCUUCGUUUUUUUAGUAAACAAUAAUAGAAGUGAUGAACAAAUAAAGUUAAACGAUCAUGAUAAUUAGAGUUAAGAGAAUGACCAAUGAUGAUUGAUGAUUCAAAAAUCAAAUUGAAAAAUAGAUGUCUUACAACGUGAAAAGUCAACCCAUGAGUAACUGAUUCACAUUGUAUGAUUAACAUGGAAGAAUUCAUAACUUGAAUCACGAUGCAUCAAAUUACGAAAGGAAAAUAUUAAUAGUUUCUAAAUUAUAAUGAAAUUUGUUUUAUAGCUUUCGAAAUGUUUACAUGGAUAACAAUCUCCACAGUGAACAAAUACAACUUCUCCAACUAAGAAUCUAUCAACAGUUGCAAUUAUAACAAUUAAAUUUAAAAAAAAAAUAACAUAUACAUGACAACAUUUAAUUUUUUUUAAUAAAUAUAUAUCAAUUAUAAAGUUUAUCAUUACUAUACACUUGAUUAUUAUUAUCCCUAAAACUACUACGAAGUAUAAUUAUCCAAUAUCACAAAAGUAAAAGUUGCAUCAAAGAGACCAACCACUAACAUAGUCAAUAGAACUUAGAGCAUAAGUUGGUUGAUAGCGAGAGAUAUCUUAGAAAGUACAGAGAUAGAUUAGAGUUCUCUAUACAAUAAUAAUAUCACAUUUACUUAAUAUAUUUAUAAAUAUUCUACAAAAGUUUCAUACUUUGUUACUAUAUUUUGAAAAAAAGAAAACAAAGAAUUAAUCCUUAUAUAUAAUUUAUAAUUAUUAUUUAGUCCUUAGAAUUUGAUAAGAAGUCGGAGAUAAUCAAUUUUAUCACACUAAGAGGACUCUUUAUGAACUUUUAUAUUAAAUUCUAAUAAACAUGAUAACUCCUUAUUAAAAUCUAUUACUAAUAAGAGUUUUUUUUUUAAAAAAAAAACUUUGAAAGUAGAAAAACAAGAAAUAUAAACUCUAUCCCAUGGAAAUCUCUGGUUUAUAUUUUAUAUUUCAAAUACACUGUAGAAAUAUUAGAUUAUAUUUUUUCUCAGCUCCUAAUGUAUACACAAAUAUAGGUGAAAUAUUAACAGUUUAAUAUUAGCUAUGGAGAAAUAAGAAAUAUGAAACAAACUCAUUUAUGUCUUUUUUUUUUUAAUAUAAAAGAAAAGAGAAAAAGAAACAAAAUAUUAUGGCAAAAUGCAAAUUUAAUUUUUCAAAAGAAAUCACAAGAAACAAAAUAUCUUUUAAUGUAGAUUAUAAAAAUUUAAAAUGACAAUAUUUUGUAAAAUAAAUACAAAUCCAAAGUUUGAUAAAAUUUGUAAUUUGAUAAGAUUAGAUUAGAGAGUAGUAAAGAACAAAAAUAGAAGUUAUAGGGACUAAUUUUGUAAUUAAGGAAUAGUGAAAAUUAAAAAAGAAAAAAAGGAAAAAGAAAUGAAAGAAAAGGGAGGGGUAGGACAGGAAAGAUACCAACUGUUAGAGGAGUUGGAGCAAAAUUUGGAAUGUUUUGAAUAAUAGUCAUUAAAAAUAUAAAUGACUGAGUCGACUCGUUGCGAGUUUAACCGAGUCUAUAAUAAAAAAUCCGAGUGAAAAUGGAGACGAGUUACGAUGAGUCACGAUGGGCCACCCUCUUCCAUCGGCUGGUUCAACUUUUAGGUCAAGUUGAGUUUUCUUUUCGCUUUUCCCUUUUAAUUCUUUUUUUUUUUUUUUUUAGUUUUUAAUUUUAAUUAUUAAUUCGAAGAAACGGAAUUUGACUGCGAGAAGAAGAAUCAGUGGAAGAAGGGCAAGUAGAUCUGAAACUUCAUACAUACGCCGGAGAUUGGGGGAGAAAAAUCCGGGGACGGUCGGCGAUUGUUUCUCGAUUUCAACCAUACCAAAAAAAUAAUUAAAAAAAAAAAAUAAACAGAACAGAACAGAAGCGGAGAUUUUUUUUUUUUUUUUUUUUGGAAUCGUUAUGCUGAAUGACUGAUUUUUCAGCUUUCCGAACGGGCGGUUUCAAAAGGAAAAUGCCGCGCCCUCAUUUUCAUAAGCUUGUUCUCACCUCAACUAUCCAAGCUAGGAAAUUGGUACUCUUUUGAUCCUUUUUUUUUUUUCUUUUUCUUUUUUUGUUUUCUGGGUUUUGCUUCUUUUGCUUGAUUAUCGAGAAGAAUCGGGCUAAACUUCGGUUCUGUCUUUCUUUUUUCUUUUAGACUUCAUCUACUAUUGCUUCUUCUGUAUCUUCUGCUGAGUUCUUUUGCUCUAGCAACGAAUUUUCUUAUGGAUUAAAGCUAAAACCCUGAGUUUUAUGUUCGUUUUAAUCAAGGAAUAAGGAAAGUUUUAUUGGGCUAUACUCGAAUUUCUUGAUGAUUUACUUACUUCUCUGUUUUUUAGUUUUGGUUAAUCGAAGAAGUUGUUUAGUCGUACUAGGUCAGACUCCAAAAUUUUCAUUUCAUUGUCUAUCAGUCUGCUACCGCUAUAUACGACUAUUAUUAUUGAAUUUGGAGCUGAACCCUUCAUUAUUUUACCCUGUUAAUCAUGUUUCUAAAGUAUCUUUCUGUUAGUAAAUAAACAUGAAAUUGAUGAAGUUAUCUCCUGGGCUGGAAAUAGUUUUUUUUUUUUUUUUUUUUUUUUUUGCGUUUGUUUUGUGUUGCAUUGGUUAUGCUUUCAAAAGGGUUUCCUUUUCAGUUGCAUGAUUAGGCAGGAUGUGUUUCCAUCAGCUACAAAUCAAUUGGCAGUAAAAUCCCAGUUUUCUGUGGGCUUGUUUUAACUCAACAUUCUCAAUUUUUGAUUCGUGCCCUUCAAGUUCUUGCUUCUCAGCUUUUAGUGAUAGCUUUUUGGGUUUGUUCUAAUUUGAUGUACAUAAUAUAGCUAUAUCAUAGACGAUAAUUGUGUAAACAAAAUAUUUUCAUUCCUCUUUCACUGAUUUGUUUGAUCUUUUUGAGAUUUUCAAUUGAAAUGCUUGGUUCUCUUAGAAGAAUCUUCAAGUAUAAUGACUAUUCUUUCAUCCCUAAGCUUUGAAUAUCAUUAGAUAAUAAAUCAAAUAGGAUUUUGUUUUCAUAUACAGAUACUCUCUUGAAAUAUCUUGUCAACUGUUAAUUGUCGAGUAUAUGAUCCGUAUCUUCAUUCUUCAUCUCAUUUUUUAAUCUUUAAACUUAAUUCCUUGGCUACAAGUUCUUUAACAUCUUUCCAUUGUUUCUUUGUGCUGGAUUAGUCCAGAGCAACGGUUGGAUCUUGACAAAAGUGAACAAACAUUAUACUCCUUCUGUUGUAUUGUUAUUCUUGAUGUACAUUGUUUUAGCUUUUGUUUGCACUUCAUGUUAGUUUGCUACUUUGUGACUGUUCGUUUCUUAUAAUGCAGUUUAUUUAUGCCAUGAUUUGUUUUUGUCUGGUUUCUUUUUGGCUUGGGCUCUCCUUCUCUCUGGCAUUUUUCUUAUUCUUACAUAAUGUCAUAAUGAAAGUUGUUUUCAUCUAAAAUAGGGUUUGGUUGUACGUAGCGCAUGAUUCAUCACAUCAUUAUAUUUGUCGUUGGCUACAACCCCUUUAUAGAAUUCCUUUGUUUCUUUAAUCAUAAAUCAAGUAUUUUAGUAUCUUCCCUUUUCAAUAAGGAACUGUUUUCCUACCAUUUAAUUUGUUGAAUGGUCAUACCACUGCAGUCAUCUUGUCAUAUAUGUCCAUUUCUUGGACUGGAGUUAAGUUUCUAUAUUGUCAUUCAUUUGCAUUGCAUAACCCUUCCUUGCUCAACAUUUUUGCAGAGAAUCCCAGAAACUUUUGUCAGGAUGAUCAGGGAUGAGCUUUCAGCAGUUGCAACCCUUACUGUUCCUGAUGGCCAUGUUUGGCGUGUAGGUUUGAGGAAAGCCGACAAUAAAUUUUGGUUUGAAGAUGGAUGGCAAGGAUUUCUUGAGCAUUACUCAAUACGGGUUGGGUAUUUACUAGUAUUCAGAUAUGAGGGAAACUCAUCGUUCUGUGUUUUUAUCUUUAAUCUUAAUACAUCUGAAAUAAACUAUCAAUCGGCUGCUCUCAGUAAUAAUCAAAGGAAUAAUUACAGCAUUCAAAACCGAAUCUUUGAAGAAAUGGAGGAUUAUGAUAUUCCUGAAGCCAUUCCUUCCAAUCAGUCCAUGAAUUCCGGUUCCUUGCGGAAUAAGCUAUUUGGUGAUGAAUGGAAUCUGCACCAAUCAAAAUCUGCAAGUACAUUACAAGCUGAGUAUUUAUCUACUAGAGAUAUUGGGGUUCAGUUUAGUGCUGUGGAGGUUAAAAAAUCUGCAGAUGAGGUGAGAUUCCAGAAUUUGGGUGAUGAUGCAGCACACAGAGUUAAAAAGAGUGGAAGCAAAAAGCGAAAAAUCGAGUCUAGUAAGCUUUUGUCUUAUUGCUUUACAGUUUGCACUGUAAAUGUUUGAAUUAUCUUACCCAGUAUUUUUCGAACUGCAGGCGAGCACCAUCCAUCUGCUCAUAAUAGUGAAGAUUUAGGAGACAUUCGUUUUAGAUUUUAUGAAAGUGCUUCUGCUAGAAAGAGAACUGUGACAGCAGAAGAAAGAGAAAGAGCUAUCAACUCUGCAAAAGCUUUCGAGCCUGGUAAUCCUUUCUGCAGAGUCGUCUUGCGACCAUCCUAUCUAUAUAGAGGUUGCAUAAUGGUAAGAUAUUGAGGUUGAAAUUUAUCAUAUGAAAGCUUUUAAAUUGAAUCACGUGAGCCCUAACAAGGGUAUUCUGCACUCUCCUUUACAGUAUUUGCCAUCUUGCUUUGCUGAAAAGAAUCUAAGUGGGGUUUCGGGAUUCAUCAAACUUCAGACGCCUGAUGGGAGACAGUGGCCGGUCCGAUGCCUUUAUAAAGUUGGUAGAGCGAAGUUAAGUCAGGGAUGGUACGAGUUUUGCCUGGAAAAUAAUUUAGGGGAGGGCGAUGUUUGUGUGUUUGAGCUUCUUAGGAUGAGAGAAAUUGUACUCAAAGUUACCAUGUUUCGUGUCAUUGAAGAAGGCGGACGAAUGGCAAACCCAAAUCCUGCUAGCAUGAUGAAUCCACCUCCGCUGCGAAGUGUUAGCCACAUUAAGCUGAUCAGAAAUUAAUGGACAAUAUUUCCAGGUUACCCUUUUGUAUCAAAUCUGUCUCUUUUUUGUGGUAGCUUGUUGAUUCUGAUCCCUUGUGGUAUUAGCUGUUGUUUGAUGUUUAUAAUCUUUCGAGAUUGACUUAAGUUGGAAAAAAAAAAGGAUCCGUUUAGAGUUUACGUAUUAAAGCUGUAUUGACUUUAGUUGUAUAUAGAUUUUCAAAUUUUUGUUGAUAUCAAUCUAGACAAGAACAUCAGCAAGUGUUUGUUUUGGUUCUUCAUGUUGAGAGUGUAUUCAAUUAUUAGAUUUUACUUUAUCUCAACAACUUCAUCUAUUUGUCUGUGUAGCUGUUGGUAAGAUAGGAUCAAUGGCAAAUUGCUCAGGUUUUAGGAGAUAGUUGAUUUAGGCCUAUGUCAUAGCUCUCGUGAAUUUGACCAACCACAGUGAUACUUAUUCUAUUUUUCUAGGAACUACAAUGUUAGUUUAAGCAGCGGUGUGUUGUACCCUAAGGGCAGCUGUUAGAGUUCUAAAGUCUGGAGUUAGGAAAAUUGUGCAUGCGGUCGAAGGCUGUUUCGUUUGGAGUUAGGAAAUAUUAGAGGGAGAAUGAGGGAAAAUAGAGUUGUUUGAUGAAUUUGAACUUUAAUAGUGAUUACUGUUUAAGUUAUUUUGGUAGACCAAACGCCUCCUAAUUUCAUUUUGCAUCGACCCUGGUUCUUGUUUUGCUUUCAAUGGAGACGUUGAAUUCGAGUCUAGUAUUCAAGUUGACAUGUAAGAAGAGUGUUAACAGUGUAUUAGAUUAUCUCAAAUAUUCAUCCUUCACUCAGUGCCACCACGCUCUUGGCUUUUUCCUUUGAAAGGCCUUGGUCUUGCUAUUAUGGAAGUCUCUCAUGGUUUUAAGUAUCCUUUUGUUUGUUUGUUUGAAUUAGCUCCUCUCUAUGUUUGUACCCAUUUCCAUCAUUUUGCUUGCUACUUCGUUUUUUGUAUUUUUUAAAUGCAUAGAUAUAUUUCUCUUGACAAAUGUUCUCUUAGUGUUUUUUUUUCUUUUCCUCCUUGGAGAUCAAUGUACUAAUGUUCUCAUAAGAAAUUGUGUUGCAAUAAUCUAAAUUGAUUCAUUUAGGAAAGUUGAGAGGUUUUUAUUGAUACAAAUUAUAAGCUGAAUUUUUUCAUAUGGGAACGUGGAGGAUGAUCUAAAUAAAUAUACUUAAAAGAUAAAUCGGUACGAUUAUUAGUUAUCAUUUAAAUUUAUAUGACAUAAGCUAAAUGUAAAAUAAUAUUUUUUUAAAUUUUGGGGUGACACGAGGUUUGACCUUAUUUCUAAACUAAAAGAUUUUUGUUAUCGUCAUAUUCGAGUACUAUUACCAAAAUAGAAUAUUACAUGAUUUUUGUUAUCGUCAUAUUCGAGUACUAUUACCAAAAUAGAAUAUUACAUGUGGGGCAAAAUAUUGAUAGAUUAUUUUUUAUUCAUAUAUUUUUUUGUUAAAAUAUAUCUUCUAGUUCUUAAACUUUUAAACAAGCAAACAAAUUUUGGUUUGUAACGAUUUAAUCCUCGUACUUUCAAUUUAGUAUUAGUUUAGACUUUCAAUUUUGUAUGAAACAAUUUUAUUGCUAAUUAGUCUAUACCUACAAAAAAAACCAUCAAAAUUUUACAUCAAUUUUUUGAUUUAUUAUUUUAUAAUCUAAACUUUUUAUUUCAUAAAAUUAUUGAGUCCCAAGUAAGUAUGCAAAAAAAUUUUAUUAAAUUUUUAUGCUAAUUUCUACCGUAGAAACUAAGUCGUUACAAAUUUUAAAAUUUAAAAUUCAAGGACUAAAUUGUCAUACAGUAAAGUCUUUUUUUGUUUUUUAAAAAUCUUUCAAUAAAUAAAUUUUUAAAAACUUUUGUUUUAGAAAAAAGAAUUAAAUAUUAAUUGAUCGGUAUUUAAAAAAUCGGUAAGAACUAAUUUGAAUUGCAGAAACAAUCCCUAAAAUCUAAACGAUAAUAAUGAACCUACAAAUUUAAACCAACAAUAUAAUUAGUAAUGUAUUUAUGACAACCUACUUAAUUUCUACCCACUUUGAUUAACACCACAAAUUUGGAAUUAAUUCAAGUCUAAUAAAUAUAAAAUGAGGCUAUAAAUUCAACUAAUAAACUCCCCCUCCAUCCAAUAAUUAUAUCAUUUUUGAAUGUAAAUAAAUAAUAGGGUUGUAUAUUAUUGGAGGAACUAGGCUUCUGAGAAUGGGGAAGGAGGAUGAAAAGUGCCCAUUUUUCGUUUAAGUAACCUACAUGACUCUUUUUGACUGUUCAUAAGUGGAUGAUAGAAAUAAAUAGUAAUUUUCCACGAAUAGUCAGAAAAUCUUAUUUUUUUGGAAGAAAAAAAACGUGUUAAAUAAACUUUUAUGACUCAUUUAGAAUAUGUUUACUAAGCAUUAAACACAUGAAGUCAAUCACAAAUAAUUGUUUUUAGAAAAGCUUUAAUAUAUUUUUAGAUAUUAUAUACUUAGUGACACCUUAAUGUGUUGUUAAAAUACUUUUAGAAAUGUUAACUAAAACAACGUUGCUAAGUUUUAGAAUUAUUGAUUUUUUUUUUUUUGUCAAUGUUGAAUUUCAAUUUUAGCAAGUUAACUUGGAUUUAAAGAACUUGAUUAAAAUUUUAAGUUCUCAAUAUUAAAUAUAUUACACCCUAAAAUGGUCGACUAAUGAAAUAAACGUUUUUUCAUUUAAGAAAUUUAACGUAGUCCACUUAAGGUGUUGAUGGAUAGAAUAAACAUUUUGUUAAAUUUUGUAAUCAAAUUUAGGUUAUGUGAUACAUUUACUUGUAUAUUUGACCUUCAAAGUUCUCUUUACCUUCGUGGUUCAAAAUUUGAACAACAUAAAAUUUAUCUCCUUGAUUACUUUUUAAUGACAAUACAUUGUGAAUUCAUAUAUCAAUGUUACUAAAUUGCAAUUAAGAGUCUAAAAUAAUGGCACAAUAAACUUGUCAUAACUUUGGAAAAGAUUGGAGUUUUUCGUAUUUUUCUACCAAAAUCGCACCUUUCUCAUUUAAGUACAUUUUAUGAUUCUUUUUUACCGUCAUAAUUUUUUUUCACAAAAAAAUGUGUGAAAUGAGUUUUUAUGACUCAUUUUUCACUAUGUCGUCCAUUUUUGCUACUAGUCACAAGUCAUGGAAGGUCAUAUUAGUCGUAGAAUUUGGUAAAUGUUUUACAAGAAUCCAUUGUAUUAAAUGAAGUACAUGACAAACAAAAUGUAAAAACUAGCAUAUCUAUUUCAAAUUAUUAAAUUAAAUAAUUUAAUCUAGGUAUAUGUUUAAGGAAAAGAAAACUCCAUUUCAACCCUAUUUGAUCAAAUUACUAAGUGGAAAAAAUAUACUAUUUAUCCUCUCUCCAGCGUUUUUUAGAUAAAUUCAUAAAAUUUGAAAUUCAUGCUUCGUCUCGAUAGGAUGAAUUAAAGAAACUAUUUUAGACAUGCAACAACAUAUCUAUAGUCUUCGUCACCAAUUGACACCAUGAGAUAUUUCAUGCAUGGCCUCAUAGCAACUAAAAACCCAUCUCCCAACCAAGACUCUCUAUGGUGGGUUAGCUUAGGAUCCUCUUCUUAGCAUUAAUUAAACUGAAGUUGCCAAUGACAAGGUUAACUCUUCAAAAAGAUAAGAUUAUAGGUAUGUGAUUCUCUAAUAUUGUCCUACUCUAAUCUCUAUGAUGUAGGCUUACCAAAAGUUAAUUAAAAUAUUGAAAUAUUGCAUUAGAUGACAAAAAAAAAUUAGAAAAAGACAAAUCAUAACAACUCAUUUUUUUAUAUUAUAAAAUUGACAAAAUGGGACUAGUAAUUGAUCAUAUCAGACGGUAAUGUGCUUUUAAAUUUGUUAUUUUUGCGAUUUAAAAAAUGUAUAUGACAUGGAUUCUAUUAUCAUAAUUUAAAAAAAAUUAUUAGUUAUUAUAAUAUAUAACUAAUGAAAAAUUAAAACAUAGAAUAAAGUUGAAAGCUCACCUACUAUAUGAUUUAAGACUGGUCUAGACUAAGAUAAAUUUCUAGCCUAUUUAGAUAUAGAUAAAUUUAAUAUAAAUAGUUUUAAAAUGUCAACAUAUAAAAUUAUAAUAAGAUUACAAUAAAGUAAAUUGCACACUUAUAUAAAAAUAAGAUUUGGGAUCUUACUUAGCUUAAAAACAAGGUUAACUUUCUAAACAAAAUAAAGAGAGAAAAUAUUUACCAUCAUUGUUACAAAUUGAAAAAGUACAUAAAAUUUACUAUUUUUUUUAAAAAAAUUAGGUUUGUUCUAAAAAAAUGUUAAUUGUUAUGUAAUUAACACCAUACUUGGGAACUGAUUAAAAAUUUUGAAUUGGUCAAACUUUAUUUAAAAGCUUGCUAUAUUGUGAUUAGUGUAUUAAAUAAGUUUAAUCAACUUAAGAAAUUCACAUGAUGAAAGAAACUAACCUAAACGUUUGUAGUAUGGGCUGACUAAUAAACCCUUGGAUUAAUGAUUUUGGAUUUUAUCCCAAAAUUUUUAGAUCAAUUUAUAAGAUUAGAUGUAUUACUAGAACUAUCUCUUAUAAAAGGUGUUUGUGCGUGAAUUUAACAGGUGAAUUAGAGAUAUUAUUUAUAGUACGUAAGUGAAGAACAAAUAUGACAAACUAUCAUAAGACGUCCAUCAUUAGUUGAGUUUAUGUCUAAGCUCGUGGCAACUUACAAUGACCGUUUAGAAGGAUACUUGAAUCGGUUAAUAUCAUUAUUUAACUCCUAGAAAAAAAUAUGUUUUCCAAUAUUUAGUGGGGUUGGUGGGCUUAAUUAGACUACAAUGGUUAUAUAUUAGAUAAUUAAUGAAAAAUUAAAACAUAAUAAAGUUGCAAGCUCACCUAAUAAGAUUAGGGAUUUUACAGCUUGGAUUAAAAUAAAUUUAAUUAAUGUUUUAAAUUGUUUUAAACUUUUCAAUUUGUCUUUAUAAUUUAUUUUUUUGAGAUUAGAAUAAAGUAAAUUGAAUUCAUACUAAAAAAAUUAAGAUAUUUAGAUAAAAUAAAUCUAACUAAUAUUUUAAAUAGUUAAUUUUUUUUAAUUCUUUUUUAAAAAUUCUAUUGAGAUUAGAAUAAAGCAAGUUGAAUGCUUACCUGAUGAGACUAUGAUUUUAGACUAAUAUAAAACAAAUUUUAAUUAAUAUUUUUUAUAUAAUUUAAAAUUUUUAAUUUAUUGUUAUAAAACUAUGAUGCCAUUAAAAUAAAACAAAUAAUCUUAUGAAAUGAAUGUAAUUAAAAUUUAGUUGUUCCACAAAAGUAAAUUUCAAAAUAUAGUUAACUUCUCAGGUUCCUUUAAAUAUAAGAAAUGGUCAAAUAUUUACUAUCAUAUAGAACAAUUUCAAAAACAAAAUCGUUAAGGCUAGUCGAAAAUACAAAAAAUGUUCAAUCAUUUAUUAGCAUCGAGUACCUAAUAUAUUUGAAAAACGAUAGUUAAAUUUUGGUAGUCAAAUUUGAACGAUUUUUUUUUUUUUGUACACAUUCGUUUAUAUUUGGAAAACAAUCAUUUACAUUUGAUACGUUUAUAUUUGGAAUAGAAUCGUUUAGAACACUUUUUCCAAUAAUUUUUUUGUACAAUUGUUUUGAUUUGAAAAACGAUCGUUUAAGUUUAAUAUAUGUUUAUAUUUGUAACACAAUCGUUGAUUUGAUCAUUUAAACUUGGCUACCUAAACCAUUUUAAGAUUCCUUGUACACUAGAUUUGACUAUUCAAUAUAUUUUUGUUAAUAUUUGGAACAACGAAAUAAUCAUGUAAAAAAAAACUAGAUUUUAUAUUUAGUAUUAGAUCUUGAACCAAAAAAAACAAUUAGAAGAAAAAAUAAAAGAAAAAGGGCAAAGAAGAGAAAAAGAGGAUGAAAAGAAAAAUUGCAAAAAAUUAAAAGAAAGACAAACCUGAAAUAUUAAAAAAAAAUUGACAGUUUCAUAAGCUUAUUUUACUAUACGGACCGUAAAUAUUUUACUGAUUUGUUAUAUUUAAGAAAAUUAACCUAUUGUUUGGUAUUGAUUUUUUGUUUCUAAUCUUAUUUUAAAUGAAAUAUCUUGAUUCCAUCACUUUUGAUGAACGAAACCCUUCAAUAGUAAGAAGGGUCGAACUGUUGGAAGGUUGAACAUUUUAAUACCAAAUUUGAAAGAUACCCAAAUAAUAGGAUUGAUGGAAAGUCUAGCUUCUAUUCGAUCUCUAAUUUUCAAAAUAUUACAUUUUUAGUUUUAUUUUAUUUCAAUUUAGUCUCUAAAUCUUAAAUGUGACAAUUCUAUUUUAAUAUAAUCAAAGGCAUUAAAAGAUUGUUUAGAGCAUAUUUGACAACUUUGAGUCAUUUGGAAGAGUUGAGUUGGUGGAUAAAAAAGACCAACAAUCCUAUAGUUCACCAAUAAUUAAAGAGAUCUUUUUAAUCCCAUUAUUCACGUCAACUCACAUUUUUCACUAAAAUAUUUACAUUUCUCACAUCACUUCCGUAUUCGUGUCAACUCUCCCCAAUUAUUUACUAUAAUUAUUUUCAACUCAACUUUUUACUUUUAUAGAUAUCCAAACGGUUCCUUACUAAAAGAAUAAAGUUAAAAGUAGAAGUUAAGAAUAACUUGAGUAAUCCGACAACCGAUUUAUACUCCUAAUUAAAAAUACAAAUAUAUUGAUGAAAAAUCAUUAAAAAUAGAUCAUUUGAUCAAAAUAUUUAUACAUUCACACAAAAAUGAAUUGUUAUGUGUAAAUAUUUUGUCAAUUUUUUCUAUUUAAAAAAAAUUCAAUACAACGUAUAGAAAUCCACUCAAAGUACGCACUAAACUAAAAAGAAUUAAAAUAGUGAGAUUUAGAACUUAAUAGGAAUUAAAAUUUAAACUCAAAACCUAAAAUUGAAAUUCAAAGGACCAAAAAGGAAUUUUACUCCAAAUUAAAUAUAAUAUUUAAUAUUUUUUCUUAUAAUGCAAAACUCUCUUCCUUUUUUAAUUUUCUAGUUUAAGCAAUUUAUUAAAGCCAUGGGGGCCACUAAUCAAACGUGUCAAUUUUCCAUUAGCUCUUACGAAGGUGGGCCCACAUGGUACAAACAAAGCAUAGUUUUUUUUAACCUUCAUCUCUCUCUCUCGCUUCUCGCGCACACACACAGCGCUGGGUUUCCACUGCAAAGUUCUUCGUCAGAACAAUCAAUGGAAAUUGAAUUAAGGGUCCGCUGAAAUUUCAAUGGAUAACUCUCUUACAGCCAUGCCCGAGUCAAACGAGCAAGAAGGAGCUCAAUCCUUUAAUCAAACCUCUCCAGCAAGAAGAGCUGGCCUCUUCUAUAAGCUGGUAGUGCCAUCCAUUCUUCAAGACAAGAAGCUGGUAAUCAGUCAUCGGUCGUACCGCCUCUAUUUCGUUUUCUUUCUGUUCCGAUUUUUCUUUUUAUUUUUCUUAUGGGAAAACCAAAAUAAACGGAACCCAGAGUCGGUUUUGGGGAUGAGAAUGUACAAUCAUUUCCAUUUCUUUGCUUACUCGUGAUAAAUGAUUGAUCAAUUGUUUCUUAGCUUUAUUUUCUUUUUUGCUUAAGUGGGGUGUGAUACAAUCGUUCAUUUUAGAUUGAUGGUGAAGAAAUUCAGGGAAAAUGCCUCUUGGUGAUUAGAUUCUAAGCCGAUUUUAGCUACAAAGUUUUUAUGGUAGUUCCGUACUGUUGGAUUUUUUUUUUUUUUUUUUUUUCUGUUUUUAAGAUUAGAGAGAUGAGAGACCUAAAGCAAAAUUCUUUUUCUGCAAAGAUGUGGAGGGCAACCAAUUGGAAGCUGAUCAAUGGGUAUCAAUAGCCGAGAACGGGAUUUGGGUUGUGAAUAAUUGGGUUUUAUCUUUUGCAGCUUGAGUUUAUUGGGGUUGAUUGAUCUUUACUUUUCUAAUUGGCCUUGAACGAUCAACUUUUUCAAUUUCUAUCUGUAAUGAUGUACUGCGAGCACCCCUGUUUUCACUUUAGGCAAAUAAUUUGUGUGGGCGAUUGAUUUAACUAAAUUGAACAGGCAGUGAACAUCAGUUAAUAGUUAAACUGCUGGAGGAUAGUGUUUUCUUUCUCUCCUUUUCAUUGUGCCCUUGAAAAAUUCCAUUAAUGGGGUUGAAAUAUCUGCUGUUCAAUGAAUUUUGGAGGCUUAUGUAUGGCUAUGCUUACUGUUGAGUUGACUUGUUUAAGAAAGAGUGAGAAAACCAUGAUUCUAUCUAUUAUCGCUUUUUGUAACUAUUCACAAGUUUGACUCUGAUAAUGGUAUUGACAGUUUUGUUAAUGAUAGAUACUUUCAUUAGAAAUCCCGCAGAUCGGGGUAUUUUCUGUUUGCAGUAUUGUUUGUUUAACAGAUUAAUUUUAUUUAUCUACAGAAAAUACCAAACAAGUUUGCUAAGAAGUUUGGAGGUGAUAUUUUGGAUCUUGUUACUCUGGUUGCUCCUAAUGGUUAUCGAUGGGUUCUGGAAUUAAAAAGACAUGGCCGUAGUAUGUGGUUUGAGGAUGGUUGGCAUGAAUUUGUCAAACACCAUUGCAUUCAAGUUGGACAGCUCUUGGUCUUCAGAUUUGAAGGAAAUUCCGUUUUCAACUUUUACAUGUUCAACCUAACUGCAAUUCCAAAUGGUCCAUGCAAUACUUCAAAUGCUUCCAUUGAACAAAACGAUGGCGAACAAUGCCCAGAUACACUUGGAAAAGAAGCUGAAUACAAGAAAUUAGUUGAAAUAUUAGGAACUGGUUCUCCUGACCCCUCUCCACGUCCUUCUGUCAAGGACCUUGUUUGUGAGUUUCCAGAUCAGCAAAAAUUCAAUGGAAGUUGCAAUGGGACUAGCAUUAAGAAUUUUAUGCAUUGGUUCGACACAGAGAACCUGCAUCCUCUAAAGGAUUUUGAUAAUCCACUAAAGCAUUUAGAUAAGUUGCGCAUGCAACUACUAAAUUCAAAUCGAGAUAUCGGUAUACAGUUCGACGGGGAUGAGCUUGCGAAAGCUAGAGAAAAUCAUGACUUUCAAUUGAAUCAAUCCUCUGAUGAAAGAGAGGAAGGAGCCAUGAAAAAGAAGUUAAAACUUGAACCAAGUAAGUUCUAAAAAUGCACAGUUUAACUAAUUUGCAGAUUCUGAGAAAUAAAUUGGUUCUUAAUAUCAAAAUUCAAUGUAGUUGACUACUACAAUGACAAUGAGCCAAUAGACGAAAAAAAAUGUGGAAACGUCCCACAUAAAAUUAAUAGGAUGGCUUUUGGAGUUGAGGAGUUCAAGUUUGGUAAUCCGUUUUGCUGGAUUGUUAUGAGACAAUCCUAUAUACGAAGAGGGUUCCAUUUGGUAAGUUUUUUAGCUCUACACUCCAUUAUUUGAUUCUCAACUGUAUGCUGAAGUAGAUAGUACAAAUGAACUUUUUUUUUUUCGUUAUUGACAGCAUAUACCAUCCAAAUUUGCGGAGAAGUAUCUAAAAGGGGUCUGGGGCGAUAUCACACUUCAGGUUUCAAGUGGGAAGCAAUGGCGUGUUCGAUGCAUUCGUGAAGGUCCUGGCACCAAGUUAACCAGGGGAUGGGCUGACUUUGUCGUGGACAACGAUUUGAAAGAAGAAGACGUUUGUGUCUUUGAGCUGAUUAAUAUGAAAGAUAUUGUGAUGCAAGUUACAGUAUUCCGUGUCCAUGGUGAUCCAACAAAAACUUGAACCCGAGGUAAUCUUUUUACUGAAUUUGACGUCUAUUAUGUAAUGUUUUCAACGUUGACUGCUCGUUUGUCUUGCAUGCUUCAUUAGAUUAUAAGUAGUACUAACUGUUAAGUUUGAGCACAAAAUAGAAUUGAUUAUGAAAUAGUUAAGAAAUUUGAGAACAAAAUAGAAAACCAUUCCUCAGAAUUCUCAGCCAAAUGGUUUACUUACUCUAGUAUAUAUAGUGAACUGUUCCACUGAUGAUUUGAUUGUGUGCCCCUUGUGUCUUGAGGAGGUGAAGUAAAUGGAUUUUGGGUUUACAUGUAGAUUCAAAGUCUCUACGGAGUCUGGCUUCCUUAAAACAUUUAGAGGAUCAUAACUAUGGAAAUUAAGGGCUGUUUUUUAUGUUUCUGUUUCUUGUUUUUUUAGGAAGAAAGAAGAUGAAAAUUUUAUUUGAUGCAUUCUUUUAGGAGAAAAAUGUAUUUGAUUGUCAGAUUUUCAUUUAGUAACCAUUUUAUUAUUUUUUACUUUCUCAAACUUUAAAAUCAAAAGCUUUACUUGGAAAUUAUUUUUCUAAACAUAAAGUAUUUUGCUUAAUUGUCGAAAGAACAAAAUAUCUAAGUUUUUGUUCGAUAACCAUAUGGUUUUUGACUUUUAGCUUUUGAAAAUCAAGAUAUGAACAACUUUUCCACCCUUAAAUUCCUAAAUUUGUUAUCUAUUUUUACCAAUAUUUUCAAAAAUCAAGUCAAGUUUUGAAAAUAGCAAAUUGCAAAAGCCCCAUAUAAGUAUGGUGGUAGUUGCAAUUAUAUCUUCUAAGUUUAAUUAUAAAAAUUAGGUACUCAAUUUUUUACGAAAUUACACCUUCAAGUAAUAGCUUUGGGCUUCCAAAUGAUAAAAAUGACCCUCAAAUGUGUACAAUUGUUAUAAUGUCUACAAUUAUAUAAGUUUGAAGGUCUAUUUUUAACACUUGUACAAGUUUGAUGGCUUACUUUUUAUAAUUUUGAGGAUAUAAUUGCAACUACCAACAUACUUCAAGAGUGGUUUUUGUAAUUUGGAAAAGUAGUUUUUAAAAUUUUACUUUUAUUUGUGAAAUUUGUUAAAGAACUCAAUUUAAAGAAACAUAAACAUUAUUGUAAGAAAUUAAGUGGAAAUAUGUUUAAUUUUAGAAACCUAAGUAAUUAUCGAGGCUUUUAAACUAUCCCAUCACGUUUAGUUUUUCAAAUGCAAUGCUUUUAAGUGGAGAAAAAAGAGAAAAAGAUAAACAAUGUUUAUUCAUGUCUCUUAAUAAUAAAAAACAACAAGCAACAAACAAUAGUCCCAUUCGAUAACCAUUUUGUUUUUUGUUUUUAGGAAUUAAGCAUUUUAAUUUCUUACAAUAAUUAACAUUUGUCUUAAAUAAAAAAGUUGAAUUCUCAGCCCAAUUUAAAAAACAAAAACAAGUUAUCAAAAAUUGGUGAAUUGGUUUUAAAAACUCUCCUACAAUAUAACCAACAAAACUGGAUAAUGGAUGAAAAAUAAAAAUGAAUUUUUAUCACGAGAAACAUGAAAGAGUUAGAUGUCCAUAUAUUAACCCCUUGAGAAAUGAGAUGGUACAUGUGUAUAUUCUGUAACUAUAGAAAUUAUCCUCCCUCUUGUUUCUCCAUUAAUCACGCAUCUGAAAAUCUCAUAUCUUAACAUUCUACUGUCUGCACUUUUGCAGGAAAUUGGAAAAACCCCAACUGGAACAUCCAGUUUAUUGUUAUGCAAUUAUGUUGGAAUUUUUCUCCAAAGACAGAUGACAAUGAGGUCUUGGUUUACACAACACCUUGUUGUUGCAGUUUAUCCUUGUAACCUUGCCCAUGUCCAUUUUUCGUCUUUAUCAUUUACAGUUUUUUCUUCAAAGCAUGAAGUUGAAGAGUGGUUGAACUUUGAAACUCCUGUGCUUAGACCUCCAUUGUAAAUUCUUCCCUGAACGGAAAAGUAAAAAAAGUUGGUGUUUCUUUUCUCCGUAAUGUAUAUUGGCAUGAACUUUGAACUUUUUUACUCAAAAAGUUGGAGAGACUGACUCUUCUUUUCCAAGGAAAUGGAUGCCACCAAUGCAAGAACGAAUCUGUUUCAUUUCAUUUGUGAACAAGUUGGGUAAACAGUUUGGACUUGGCAGGCGCCAGUAGUCAGAGUAGUUUCCCAUCAAAUUAUGACUAUUCGGUUAAUGUAUGUUUUUUGGUAUAGUUUCCCUUUAACUAAUUGAUUUUAAAAUGUAACAUAUUAAUUCAAUAGUUUUGAGUUUGAUUUCAAUCUAGUUUAGAAGUUUCAAAAUGUUAUAACUUUCUCGUUGAAAUUUGAGUUAUGUAUCAAUUCCAUAUACUUCAAAAUUUAUGUCUACUAUUUUAAUUUUCGUUAAAUAUUCACUUUUAGUCCUGGAGGUUAAUGUCUAGUAAAAUUUUAUUAAUCAAUUAUAAUCUUUUUAAAUUAAUAGAAGAUGAGUAUUUUAUAAAAACUUGAGGUUAACUUGUAAACCUUGAAAGCUUUUAAGGAAAUAUUAAGAACUAUAAUUGUAGCAUUACAUUUCAAAAAUAAAAUUCUCAAUAAUAAUUACAAAAAAAUUCAAUAAUAUAGCAGGAUAAAAGUAAUACAAUUUGGUUAUAAACAAAUAAUAAAAGCAAUCAAUUCUGAGAGCAAAAUACAAAAACUCCUCUUUGAAAAUAAAUAAAUUAAUUGAUUUUUAGAUUCUUUCGAGUGAAAAAAAUGACAGUUUAUAAAAACGCCUGAAAAUCAAUUUGUCACUUUCUAAGAUUAUAAAACAUAACGUGUAACGCUUGUAUUUAUAAUUUUGGCACAAUUUUGUUCCAAAAUAAGAUAGUUUUUAAAUUGGAAUGUAAUGUUAAAUGGGUGUUUGUUUUUAUUAAUUUCGUCUCUUUGGUUGGAGAGAAAGCAAAUAAAUAAAUAAAUAUUCUUAUUUAUUUAUAUUUUUUUAAUAAAAAAAUAUAAAAAAAACAAAUAAAUCUUAUUAAAAGAAGAAGAAAACUGAAUAAAAGGAAAAUAAACUAAAGUAAAAAGAAACGCCGUUGCCGGGGAUCGAACCCGGGUCACCCGCGUGACAGGCGGGAAUACUCACCACUAUACUACAACGACUUGUUGAAAUGAAAUGAAGAUUUAUUUUAUUUAUCUAAUAUUUCAUGAAUAUAUGUUAGCAAUAGAAUGCUACAUAUUUCUUUUCCAAUCAAAUCUUUAAACGGAUUGAUUUUAUUUUUAAUAUAUAAAAUACAAAAUAGAAAAUUUGUAAAAAUAAUAAAUUUGAUAAAAUAUUUAGAACAUAUAGCAAAAUUUUGUUAUAGUUUAUAAAUAUUUUAAUUUACAUUGUUGUUUUUUUAAGAAGCCUCUACAAAAUAUUUGAAAUAAUAGGAUUUUCGCUCUUAAAUCCUUACUUAAGCACUUUUCUCGUCUUUUUAGUUAAGCUAAUAUAUUUGUGAUUGCAUUAAUAUAUUUUUCACAAAGGAAAUAUAAUGUUUGAGGGUUAUUUGAUAGGAUUUCUAAAUUUUAAGAAUUAGAAUUGGUAUUUGAUGUACAUGAUUUAGAAGUCUUAGUUUCUAAAGCUUAUAUUUGAGUUAUUAUGGACCAUCUAUAGCCUAUGUUGUAUUGUGGAUCAAUUUUUAUGAUAAAUUAAAAUGUUUCAUCUAUCCAUUUUAGAAUGAAUUUUAUAUUAUAUUUAUAUGUUUUGUAUUUUCAAAUCAAUUUUUUUGUUUGUAAUGAAUGACGGUGGUUUUAGAUUUAUUGUGACAAACCAAACUAUAAUAAUUUAUCAUAUACUCAUUUUCGUGGAUAAAAAAUCUAAUUAAAUGUGUCGUUUGAAUGUACUAGAGAAAAAAAAUAGUAUUUUAAAAGUUAUUUUUUAUUUAGAUUGUUUUAAUUGAAUUUUCUACAAAUAAGCUGGUAAAACACCUCAAUUUUCACCGGUAGAUAUCUCAUAUUGAGCGUAACAACAAAAACUCAAGGGAUAAAAUCUAAAAUUGAAUGUGACAAAAAAAAUGUAGUUGGAGGGGUUUGGUCAACCUCAUUCUUGGGCUUCCCUUUUUCAGUUCGACCUCCCUUUCCAAGGGCUUUUUGUAAGUUUAAAUCCCAACAUUAUAUAAACAAUAAAAGCUCAAGUCUUUCAACCAAAUAAUUUUCACAAUAAUAUGAAUUAAAGUAAUAUACUUUGAUCCAAGAAAUUGUGUUUUCCUCUGGGCGUUCCUUUAAAACUUGAUUAGGAUGAUGAAAAGAAAAAGUUACUUAAUGAGUUAGAGUGAAGAUCAAUCCUAGAGUUUCAUUUGUAUACAUACCGUCUCAUAUGGGUGUUUAAUUAAAAUAUGUUUUUUACUUGAUUGAUUGAAUAAAAUAAUACAAAAGAUAAAACAACAUAUAUGUGUGGAAGGCGAUCAUUUCACUCAAGGGUGUUGCUUAGUUAUGCACUUGCUCUUUGAUGGGCUAAUUCGUGGAGUUUCAUCUUUCUUUUGAGCCCAUUUUCUGAUUGGUUUCCCGAUGUGUAGGAUAAUAUGGAAGUAUUGUUGGUUAUUAUCUUGAAGGAUGAUUUGGUUCCUUUUUAGUUUAAAAAGUAGUAGGCUUGAGAAUGGGUGAUUUCUAAUUGUCCUUGGUAUAUGGAGGGCACUCCUAUUUUGAUGAGGAAGUAGGUUCCAAACAUUAUUUCUAAGUCCUUUGUAUUUGAUUGGGUGCCCAUUUGAGUGAAGUUGCUCAAAGUUUCUUGAGAAUUGUAGACUCCUAAGUGUGUUGAGUGUUUUGUGUGGCCAAGAGUAUUUGAUUUAGCAAUAUGUAUGGAUAAGACUAUCUAAGAGUUGUGAAUUGUCUACCCAUCUCUUGUGUUGAGGUAAGAGUAGUGAUUUUCCAUGUGUUUUGUGACAAUAUAGUUGCGAACAUAGAAUAUGCUUGGAUGGUGUACAAAUGUGCUUAUUGGGGUGAUGGUUUUGGCCUAUCUAUUGAUAAGCGUGGGGGAGAGGGUUGAUAAGGCACUUUUCUUUUGUACAUUUAGCUCUUAUUAGUGGUGAUUUGAUUCUCACCACUAAUUAGAGCCUAGCUAUAGGGUUGUUGUUCUUUUAUUCAAGGGGCAAUUAGUCUUCUAUGAUGGGAGGUUAGGGUUAGGUUCUUACGUUAGUCUUAUGGCUCACUUGGUGGUGUUUAGAACGUCAAAUUUACAUAAAGACACUAUAAAUUAUUGUAUUCUUUAGCGUUGUUCUAAUGAUGUCUCUGAUUUAGUGGUCAAUUACUGUUAUGUGCUAACGAGUCUUAACUCUUAGCAAACUUUUAAGACUUGUAAAAGGAUUUAGGAUAUUAAUUUAUUUUUUUGUGAUUUUAUUGAUUUCUUCAUGCUCAAAAGUUGUAAGUUUUUUAUAUGUUUUGUUUCUUCUAUUUUGGUUGUAGGAUUAGUUCUCUUUAGUUUGUGCUCUAACCUCAAAUUAAGAGGAAUUAUAUAUUAUAUAUUACGUAUAUCACCUUUAACCAAAUAAUUUGAGAAAUUUUCGUGUUUUUUAAUUUUUAUUUUUGGGAAAUCUUCAUUUUGAUGGAUCAAUAAUGGAUUUAAAGAAAAAAAGAAAGAAAGAAGAAUGCUAAUGUAAUCAAUUUGUGUGACAUUAGAGUUUCCUCUAAAUACCAAAACAGAUUUAGAAUUUGGAGCAUCAACGAAUUUUGUUCAUCUUCUUCUUCUUCUUCACCAGUUUGCAUUUCUAAUAAUGUCUUGAACUUUUCACUGUAACUUAGAAACUGAAGGCUGAAAACUUCCUCUUAGAAUCCUUCGUCGGUUUCACAAUCUCAGGAAAGCGAAAAAAUUGCUCUGAAUUUUCCGUAGCAGAAGGAAAUUGAAUGAGUCUGAAUCAUCAUUCGGAGUCUUUUGGGGUUUUAAAGGAUUUGCAAUGAAUUAUUUCAGGAAAUUCCAUGGAGAAGGAUGAUGCAGGGACUUCACCACCAACAGCAGCAACUAGCGGCCCUUCUCAACGUAGCUUUGCGGAAGGAUGAUCCUAAUCCCACUACCUCAAGUUCCAGUACCGCCGGUGCCACUUCCGACGAGGACGACUCUGCUAGAAUUGCAGCUAUCAAUUCAAUCCAUCGUGCCAUUGUUUAUCCUCCUAAUUCGCUUCUUGUAACUCACUCCGCCACUUUCCUCUCCCAGGGCUUCUCUCAGCUUCUAUCUGAUAAGUAAGACCUCCUCUUCUGGUUAUACAUUGCUGGAGUUUCUUCUCUUGAUUUUUCUGUACCGUUUUUCACUUUGUGGUGCGGAAAGAUCGUAUGGUAUUUUUGGCUUCGAGCUUAGAGUGCAUAUACAUUUUUUCAUUGUUGCCCUUUUUUUUCUAUCUGUGUGGAUUACUCAUGGUCUCUCUAGAAAUGUGCUUAUUAACGAAUUGGAAUUUUGAGCAAAUCCAUGGUGACUGGGCCGCCAACCUAGGAUUUAAUGCUAUAUGGGUUUCUUUAGUACCUAAAUGUUGGAGGGUCAAACGAGUUAUUCGAGAGAUUAGUUGAGGUGCGUCAAACGAAUUGUUCGUGAGAUUAGUUGAGGUGCGUCAAAAGAGGUGUUCAUGAUAUUAUUUGAGGUGCGUGUAAGUUGGCUUAGACACUCGUAAAAAAAGAACGGGAAUUUUGAGCAAGCUGGGGCAAUUAUCCUUUGUGUUGAACUCAAAUUGAAAAUUUUGGUUCUAAGAAAUAUACUCAAAUCUCAUUUUCUUCAAAAUUUUUGGUACUUUUGCUAGUAGUAUAAUGGGAAAAGUAGGUUUUUGCCUAUUGUUUCCAGUUCUUGUUUUAUAUACGUAAAACGGGGAUCCAUAAUUUUUUUUACUGAAUGUUAUUAUUGAUGCAACUAUUUCUUGAUUCCACAUAUUAGGUCAUACCCAGUGAGACAGGCGGCAGCCAUUGCUUAUGGAGCUCUCUGUGCUGUCUCAUGUUCAAUCACUGCAUCACCAAAUGGAAGGCAAAAUAGUGUACUACUUGGAACUUUGGUUGAUCGAUUCAUUGGUUGGGCAUUGCCAUUGCUUAGCCAUGUCACUGCAGGUGAUGCAACCACCAAGUUGGCAUUGGAGGGAUUGCAAGAGUUCAUUAACAUUGGAGAAGCUGGUGCUGUGGAGAGAUUUGCUUUGCCAAUCCUUAAAGCAUGCCAAGUACUUCUUGAGGAUGAGAGAACUCCCUUGUCUUUAUUACAUGGACUAUUAGGAGUUUUAACUUUGAUUUCUUUGAAGUUUUCUAGAUCCUUCCAACCUCAUUUCCUUGAUAUUGUUGAUCUGCUUCUAGGUUGGGCAUUAGUUCCAGAUCUAACCGAUUCAGAUAGGCACAUCAUUAUGGACAGUUUCUUACAGUUUCAGAAGCACUGGGUGGGUAAUUUGCAGUUUUCUCUGGGGUUAUUGUCAAAGUUCUUGGGUGACAUGGAUGUAUUACUUCAAGAUGGGAGUCCUGGGACGCCUCAACAAUUCCGCAGGUUACUUGCAUUACUUUCUUGUUUUUCAACAAUUCUUCGGUCUGCUGCUUCCGGGUUGUUGGAAUUGAACCUUCUUGAGCAAAUAAGUGAACCACUUUCGAGAAUGCUUCCUCAGUUGUUGGGAUGCUUAUCUAUGGUUGGACGUAAAUUUGGAUGGUUGGAGUGGAUUGAUAAUUUGUGGAAAUGCUUGACUCUUUUGGCAGAAAUAUUACGUGAGCGUUUUUCCACCUAUUAUCCACUUGCUAUUGAUAUCCUAUUCCAAAGUUUGGAAAUGACCAGAGCUAACCGUGUAGUGAAAGGUCAGAAGAUUACGUUUCUUCAAGUUCAUGGUGUUUUGAAAACUAAUCUUCAAUUAUUGUCCCUUCAAAAAUUUGGGCUGCUGCCAUCAUCUGUGCACAGAAUACUGCAAUUUGAUGCACCAAUAUCUCAGCUUAGAAUGCAUCCAAAUCAUUUGGUAACAGGUAGUUCUGCUGCCACUUAUAUAUUCUUGCUCCAACAUGGGAAUAAUGAAGUUGUUGAACAAACGGUGGCAUUAUUAAUUGAAGAGCUAGGUAUGUUCAGUGGCUUGUUAGAAAAAGGUUUAGAUCAAAGAGGUAUCAAUGGUAUUCUUGAUUCUCAAUUUUGUUCAACUAUGGAUUUGUUCGCCCUAAUUAAGUUUGAUUUGAGAGCCUUAUUGACAUGUACUAUCUCUAGUGGAACUAUUGGUCUGAUAGGCCAAGAAAACGUUGCUUUCACAUGUCUAAAAAGGUCAGAAAGAUUGAUUUCCUUCAUUAUGGAAAAACUGAAUCCUUUUGACUUUCCACUUCAGGCUUAUGUGGAAUUGCAAGCUGCUAUCCUCGAUACAUUGGACAGGUUGACCACAACUGAAUUCUUUUGCAAGUGCUCUUUGAAGAAAUUGAGCAGCGAGAACCGUUUUCUGGAUUCAGGAGAAAACAUAGAUUCUUAUCAAAAAAAAGGAGAAAACAUAGAUGAAGCCCAUCUAAAGAAGGAUCAUUCAGCUAUUAUUAUUGAGCAACUAACAAAAUACAAUGCUCUCUUCUCCAAAGCCCUUCAUAAAGCAUCUCCACUAACAGUUAAAAUAACAACCCUGGGUUGGAUUCAGAGAUUCUGUGAGAAUGUCGUUACUAUUUUUAAGAAUGACAAGACAUAUGCCAACUUUUUUGAAGAAUUUGGAUAUUUUAGCGUCAUAGGAAACUUGAUUUUUAUGGUAAUUGAUGCCGCAUCUGACAGGGAGCCUAAGGUGAGAUCUAAUGCAGCUUCAGUAUUGGAGCUGCUUCUGCAAGCAAAAAUUGUUCAUCCCAUAUACUUUUAUCCCAUCGCUGACGUAGUCCUGGAAAAACUUGGUGAUCCAGAUAAUGAAAUAAAAAACUCAUUCGUGAGGUUGCUUUCUCAUAUUUUGCCCACGGCACUUUAUGCAUGUGGUCAAUAUGACCUUGGAUCAUAUCCUGCUUGUAGGCUUCAUCUUCUGAGAUCUGAUCAUAAAUCUAGCCUGCACUGGAAACAAGUAUUUGCCUUGAAGCAGCUUCCUCAGCAAAUUCAUUUUCAACAACUAAUUUCCAUUUUGAGCUACAUAUCACAAAGAUGGAAAGUUCCUGUUGCAUCAUGGACCCAGCGGCUCAUCCAUAGAUGUGGGAGAUUGAAAGACAUUGAUUUGAGUCAAAGUGAGGAGAUGGGGAACCUAGGUGCAAAUGGUUUAUGGUUAGAUCUCAGGCUGGAUGAUGAUUUUCUUAAUGGGAAUUGCUCAGUUAAUUGUGUAGCCGGAGUCUGGUGGGCCAUCCAUGAAGCAGCUAGAUACUGUAUUUCUCUACGUCUACGAACGAACCUUGGUGGGCCUACCCAGACUUUUGCAGCACUAGAGAGAAUGCUUUUGGACAUAGCACACUUGUUACAGCUUGAUAAUGAACAUAGUGAUGGGAAUUUAACCAUGGUUGGGGCUUCUGGAGCCCGUUUAUUGCCCAUGAGGUUACUAUUGGAUUUUGUUGAGGCCUUAAAGAAAAAUGUUUAUAAUGCAUAUGAGGGGUCUGCAGUCUUAUCACCUGCUACUCGCCAAAGUUCAUUGUUUUUCCGAGCAAACAAGAAAGUUUGUGAGGAGUGGUUUUCACGUAUGUGUGAGCCAAUGAUGAAUGCUGGAUUGGCACUUCAAAGCCAAUAUGCUGCAAUCCAAUAUUGUACGCUGCGUUUGCAAGAGUUCAAGAAUCUUGUUAUGUCACAUAUGAAGGAAAAGUGUAAUUUACAGGUCGGUGAAAACAUCCACAACACAAAUAAACUUACAAGAGAUAUCUCAAGGGUUUUGAGGCACAUGACUUUGGCUCUUUGUAAAAGUCAUGAAGCAGAAGCUUUGGUUGGUCUACAGAAAUGGGUUGAAAUGACAUUCUCUUCCCUGUUUCUGGAGGAAAGCCAGAGUCUUGGUAACUUUACACUAGGACCCUUUUCAUGGAUUACAGGGCUAGUCUAUCAAGCAAGAGGUCAAUAUGAAAAAGCAGCUGCUCACUUUAUCCACUUGUUACAGACUGAAGAGUCACUUGCUUCUAUGGGUUCUGAUGGUGUACAGUUCACCAUUGCUCGUAUUAUUGAGGGAUAUACAGCUAUGGCUGAUUGGACAUCUCUGGAAUCAUGGUUAUCGGAGUUGCAAUCUCUUCGUUCUAAACAUGCUGGGAAGAGCUACUCUGGUGCUCUAACUACAGCUGGCAAUGAAAUAAAUGCAAUCCAUGCAUUGGCACACUUUGAUGAAGGAGAUUAUGAGGCAUCAUGGGCAUGUCUUGGUUUGACACCAAAGAGUAGCAGUGAGCUAACUCUAGAUCCCAAGCUGGCUUUGCAGAGGAGUGAGCAGAUGCUUUUACAGGCACUGCUUCUCUAUAAUGAGGGAAGGUUGGAAAAGGUGUCCCAAGAAAUCCAGAAGGCAAGAGCAAUGCUGGAGGAAACGUUGUCAGUCUUGCCUCUGGAUGGCUUGGAAGAAGCAGCUGCAUUUGCUACACAAUUACAUAGCAUUUCUGCAUUUGAAGAAGGUUACAAGCUUACAGGCAGUGUAGACAAGCACAAACAGUUAAAUUCAAUAUUGAGUGUUUAUGUUCAGUCUGUGCAAUCUUCUUUUUGUAGAAUUAAUCAAGAUUGCAACCCAUGGAUAAAAAUUCUUCGGGUUUAUCGAGUGAUCUCACCAACUUCUCCAGUCACCCUUAAACUCUGCAUUAAUUUGUUAAGUUUGGCUCGUAAACAGAAAAACCUGAUGUUGGCAAAUAAUUUAAACAAUUAUAUUGAUGACCAUAUAUCAAAUUGUUCUGAUGAAAAGCAUUGUCUAUUUCUCCUUUCAAGUUUGCAGUAUGAGAGAAUCUUGUUAAUGCAAGCUGAGAAUAGAUUUGAAGAUGCUUUCACAAAUAUCUGGUCCUUUGUGCAUCCUCACAUCAUGUCUUUCAACUCAAUUGAGUCGAACUUUGAUGAUGGUAUUUUGAAAGCAAAAGCAUGCUUAAAACUUUCUCGUUGGUUAAAACAGGAUUUAGAAGCUUUGAACUUGGAUCAUAUUAUACCUAAGCUGAUUGCUGAUUUUAAUGUGACUGACAAAUCCUCUGUAAGAGGAGAAUUCUCCAUCUGUAGUGAGAACUUACAUUCUGGACCUGGACCAAGUAUAGAACUUAUCAUUGAGGAGAUUGUGGGUACGAUGACUAAAUUAUCCACUCGUCUUUGUCCUACAUUUGGUAAGGCAUGGAUUUCUUAUGCAUCUUGGUGCUUUGCUCAAGCUGAAAGUUCUCUCCAUACUUCAAGUGGAACUGCUCUCCGCUCAUGCUUGUUUUCUUCUAUACUAGAUCCUGAAGUUCAUUCUGAGAAAUAUAGACUAACUAAAGAUGAAAUCAUAAAAGUGGAACGCCUGAUUUAUGUUCUCGUUCAGAAAAGUCAUGAAGCAAAAAUUGUUAAUGAUGAUCGAAGAGAAUGGAGUUCUGAGACCUUAGAGGAUUUGAAACUUGAUGGCACUGUCAAGGCCUUGUUGCAGCAAGUAAUAAAUAUCAUCGAGGCUGCAGCUGGUUUGUCAAAUACUGAAAACCCUGGGAAUGAAUGCCUAACUGAUGUCUUUACUUCUGAGUUAAAGUUAUUUUUUCAGCAUGCUAGUAUUGACCUAGAUGACACUAGCGCGGUAACCGUUGUUCAGGACUUGGUAGAUGUUUGGAGGUCCCUGAGGAGUAGAAGAGUGUCUCUCUUUGGUCAUGCUGCUAAUGGCUUUAUACAAUAUCUUUUGCAUUCCUCUAUAAAAGCUUGUGAUGGUCAGCUGGCGGGCUAUGACUGCGGGUCAAUGAAACAGAAGUCUGGAAAAUACACACUGAGGGCGACAUUGUACGUUCUACAUAUUCUUCUCAAUUAUGGAGCCGAGUUAAAAGAUUCUCUUGAACCUGCUCUAUCAACAGUCCCACUCUCUCCAUGGCAGGUUUGAUUUCUGUUUCUGAUUUAAAUCAUUUUUGUUUUCCUUUUGGAACUAAUUUGAUAAUGUUGUAGUUUAGAACAUAUUUUUAUUUUAUGAUUCUAGGAAGUGACACCACAGUUAUUUGCUCGCCUGAGUUCUCAUCCUGAGAAAAUUGUGAGGAAGCAGUUGGAGGGAUUGGUGAUGAUGCUGGCUAAGCAGUCUCCAUGGUCUGUAGUAUACCCAACGCUGGUUGACGUAAAUUCUUAUGAAGAGAAGCCUUCAGAGGAACUUCAGCAUAUACUUGGUUCUCUGGUAACAUGAUUUCUUUCAUUAAUUUAAUUUCAUCAAGCCUUUUCAUAUUUAAUACAUUUUAUUUUGAUGAGGAGUUUUCCCCUCUGUUUGAAUGUCUUUAUUUAAGCUUCUUUUGGCAACGGGUGGGAAACUGCUCCUGACUGGAAAAAGGUCUUAAACUUAUUCUAUGUGUUGUCUGAUUAACUGUUGAGUGAUUCAGUCUUUGACACUAACUAAAUUAGUCAAUUCUGGGGCUCUUUAGGUCCUAAAUCUCUGACCUUUUCUAGCUGGGGCUAAAUUAUUCAGUUCACAUAUUUCCUCCAAAAUCAUAUCAGAAUUAGAUCAGUCUUCCGUAUUUGAUUUCUUGAUGGAGUCUUCAUCAGUUUGGUCUUUCUUUUUAUCCUUGCACAAUGUACCAUUAUAUGGUCUCUUCAAGAAAAUGAUAUUGUCUAUUAUAGCUUGAAAAGAGGGACCAUCUCCAAGAAGGAGUGAUGAAUUGAUCUUUUGUACAGGAUGUGAAUUGAUUGUUUGUAGAGGAGUUUUCAUGCUUAAGGAGGAAUAAUGGAAAAACACACAUUUAGAUUCCUGUUAUAGUGGUCUUUAUUUAAAGAAAGAGAAACAUAAGGAUUUUCAAAGAUAAGUUGAUGUUAUUGAUCAUGGUCUUGACUCUUGAGUGUCAUUUUGGCUUCUUUGAGUUUUAUUGACUAGGCUUUUAAAAGACACUUCUAGAGUUUUUUUGAUAAGAGUUGGAUGCCAGUUGUGGUGGAAUCCUUUGGAAAAGUGGGUAAGUCUUCUGUUUAUGGGGAAUAGAGGCAGUUAUUCAUAAUCCGCUAAGUUCAUAACCCAAUGCAAGAAUAUAUGAUGAUGGGCUGGUUUUGUUAUAAGAUCCAAUAUUAAUAUCUUAAAUACUGGACUGCUGGUUUGGAAGAAAAUAGGAAAAGGUAAGAAAAGAGUCUUCUUUCUGAGCUUGAAUCUUUCGAUGCAAAAACUAAACUCAAGGAGAUUUUUAAUCUUCAAUUUGAUAUAUAAUCUACAUUCAAAUGUGAAAUUAUGGAUUCAUAACUAUUGUUUUGGCUGUUUUUUCUUUCUUUUGUUUGAACUGUACUUCGAUUGUUUGCUUCUUUUCAUUUAUUCAUUGAAAAGUUUUGUUUCCUUUAAAAGAUAAACUAGUUGUGUUUUCGGUUAAUUUUUCUAUUUGUGGUAGAAUUUCUUGUAAUAUUUCUACUCUGAAUAUACUUUUGAAUGAUAGUUGGCUCCUUAUAUGAAAAAAAAUCAUCGGCUGCUUUAUGAAUCAUGUAGAAAAAUACCACCUUUUAAUAUUUUGCUGAUUAUACUACCUAGCAAAAUGCAAAUUCGAGUGCCUGCCUCCAUUUUAAAUUGAUAAACUUUCCAAUGGCAUGGUGCUUGUUUGUUGGAAAUGUUUUCGGUUUGAAUCAAUAAAUUCAUGGUUACAGUUGAAAAGCAAGAUUGUUGAAACAUGCUCAUGAUACCUGCAGAAAGAGCAUUAUCCAAGAUUGAUCGAAGAUGUUCAAUUGAUGAUAAAAGAGCUGGAAAAUGUAACUGUACUUUGGGAAGAGCUAUGGCUCAGCACACUUCAAGAUCUUCAGACAGGUGAGAAGCAUGAUUUUAAAUCUACAUAAUGACACUUUUACCUGACAUAAAUUAUUCUAUAAUGCAGAAAUUUGUUUUUGGUUGCCAACUCACCACAAUAAAUAUAACUUCAAGUUUGACCAUAAUUGACCUUUCACGUGAAAUUUAGGUGCCAAAUUUGACCUGUAGGUUCUGAGACUCAGGGAUAUCAUACCUGCUCUAUGAUUUGCCCAAGUUUCCGUUAUUACUGAAUUUCCUGCACUGAGUAGUUGCUGCGACAUAUUGUAACUAGCACUUCACCUUGGCAUGUUGUAACGUUCAAGAACAAUACCAAUUUGUAAAUUAUCCUUUAAUUGAACAUUUUUCUUUUGAUAAGAAACAACUAAGAUAUAUUCAGAAAAGUCCAACAGUCUAGGGUAAGGUUGAGACAACCCCCAAAGGCCAAAAAGAGCUAUACAAGGAGGGUCUUCCAAUCACUAAUACCAUCAAAAGGCUGUAAUUACAUAAGAAAUUAUUCUGUAAAUAUAUUCACCAAGAGGCCAUAUUUUGUGUCCUAUCACAAAAUUUUAAGAAGUGGAAGGGUGUAGAAUUAUCUUCGGAGGUUCUAGACUAGUUUCUUUCCUCCCAAAUAAGCUGCAAAAUGCUCUAAAGGUGAAACUACCCACCACUUUGGCCUUUUUCUUCAGAUUCUAAGCAGCCAGGCCUUCCAACAUCCAAUUGUCAAUGUUUUUAUGGAGACAAAACUGUAAACCCAGUAUUCCUGCAGCGAUCCAAUCUUGAUUGGCAAAAUCACAAUGCAAAAAGAGGUGGCCAAGGCCUUCUGCCUCUUUCAAGAGCAUUCUGCUUUCCAAAGUGGACAAAAACCACCUUCUAAACUUCCUUUGGAGUCUAUCAUCAUUGUUCAAAUUCCUAUAGGCUGAAGACCAAAACUUUAAUUUUCUGAUGGUUGUCAUGUUUUCAUGUAAGCGUAAUCGGAGCAGAGUUUAUGCUAUUGGGCUUGGAAGCAAGACUAAAGGUGGAGUUGGAAGAGUUUAUGUUACUUGAACACUAUCUGUUGUACAUCUGUCACCUUGAAUUAUGAGGAAUGCCAAUUUGUAAAUUAUUGAGAAUUUUGUUGAUUUGUUUUUCCUUAUACAAAGCAAAAGAUUGAGAAGUCUAUAUUUUGCAGAUGUUAUGAGACGCAUAAAUGUACUCAAGGAAGAAGCUGCUCGAAUUGCUGCAAAUGUCACUCUCAGCCAGAGUGAGAAAGACAAGAUAAAUGCUGCUAAGUACUCAGCCAUGAUGGCCCCCAUUGUGGUGGCUUUGGAGCGUCGUUUGGCUUCAACAUCUCGAAAACCUGAAACACCCCAUGAAACCUGGUUCCAUGAAGAGUAUAAAGAACAGCUGAAAUCAGCUAUUUUUACCUUCAAGAAUCCUCCAUCCUCUGCUGCUGCACUUGUUGAUGUAUGGCGGCCAUUUGAUGAUAUUGCAGCAUCUUUGGCAUCUUAUCAGAGAAAGUCAUCAAUUUCUUUAAAAGAAGUUGCACCGAUGUUAACUUUGUUAUCAUCAUCUGACGUACCAAUGCCUGGUUUUGAGAAGCAUGUUAUCUAUUCAGAAGCUGAUAGAAGCAUUGGCUCUAAUCUUUCAGGAACUGUUACAAUUGGUUCUUUCUCAGAGCAAGUGACUAUCUUGUCUACAAAGACAAAACCUAAAAAGCUUGUAAUACUGGGUUCUGAUGGUGAAACCUACACAUAUCUCUUAAAGGGUAGAGAGGAUCUGCGUCUUGAUGCUAGAAUCAUGCAAAUGUUGCAAGCUAUCAAUAGUUUCCUGUAUUCAUCUCAUUCAACUUAUGGUCAAUCUCUCUCCAUUCGCUAUUAUUCUGUAACUCCAAUUAGUGGUAGAGCUGGUCUCAUCCAAUGGGUGAACAAUGUAAUGAGUGUAUAUACUGUAUUCAAGUCAUGGCAACACCGGGUCCAGGUGGCACAACUCUCAGCAGUUGGUGCUAGCAAUUUGAAAAGUUCUGUACCUCCACAGCUUCCACGUCCGAGUGAUAUGUUUUAUGGUAAAAUCAUACCAGCACUCAAAGAGAAAGGCAUAAGGAGAGUGAUUUCACGUAGAGAUUGGCCUCAUGAAGUUAAACGUAAAGUUCUUUUGGAUCUUAUGAAGGAGGUUCCCAAACAACUUCUUUAUCAAGAACUCUGGUGUGCUAGUGAAGGAUUCAAAGCUUUCAGUUUGAAACUAAAAAGGUAUAACUAUUUUGGUUUGUGUUGUAACAUGCUAAACUUUCUUUCUGUCAAAUACAAACAAAGGGCUAAUUGGCAAAAAGUUGUUUUUCUUAUGCUUGCAUAUAGAAAUUUUUAGGUGAUUAAAGGUAUAAUUGUCCUUUCCCCUUUUCAGCAUUUUUCUUUUAUUUUUUUUUCAAAGGGGUAUUUUCCGGCAUGAUUUUAUUUAAGGACGUUUUCUACAGAAAAUUUUAGUUUAUCAAAGGAAUGAUUACCUUUUUUUUCUUGCUUCUUUCUUCUCCUUGAUCUUCUAUUUUUUUUCUCCUCAAAUUGUAAUUUUCUAUUUUUCUGUAAUACUUCUUUUCUGAACUACUCUCCAAUUACUACUGUUUUCAGCAUGAUUUUUAUUUAAGAUUGUUUGCCUUGCAAGUUGUAUUAUGAAAUAUAUAUUCUUCUUUUUUCUUGUAUUUGCUUAACUUUCUAGAAAGUAAAGUUUCAAUUAGGAUUUCUUUACAAAGAAAUAAAAUUUACUGGCAUGUUUGAAAAUCAGGUUUAACAACAGAAAACAUUUAAAAAAUAAAUAUAAUUAAUACCAUUUGUGUUUUCUUGUUUGGUAGAGUAUUUCAAAAACAAAUUUUUUGAAUAAAAAUCUGUAAAAAUAGUAUUUGUUGCAGAAAUAAGUACAAGGUAUUAGGUAUGUUUCCUCAGGAAAAAAAAGAACAUGAGACUUGAGAGUAAACACAGAAAAUAGGUGCAAGGUUUGAAGAAGAGAGAUCUUUUGUGAUAAAGGUAGACGGUGAAAUAUGUUUUGGAUGAUCCAGAGCUGAUAGUGGCUAGGAAAAUCUGAAAAUAACAUUCAGAACUUGUAAAUUUAAAAUUUGGAAUUGGUCAUGUUCAGUUCAUAAUUGCCUGCCAGCCAACAUUUUUGCGAUAAAACUAAAUUGAUGUUGAGCCAUUCUGUGACAGUUUUCCCUUCCUUUCAUUUCUUUUGAUUUGCAAUAAUCUAGAUUCAGUCUGCUAAUCUUGCAAGAUAUAAAAUUUGUUCUCUACUCAGGUAUGCUGGAAGUGUUGCAGCAAUGAGUAUGGUGGGACACAUCUUGGGCUUAGGCGAUAGACAUCUGGAUAAUAUUCUUAUGGAUUUCUCUACUGGAGAUGUUGUACAUAUUGACUAUAAUGUUUGUUUUGAUAAAGGCCAGAAACUGAAAGUGCCAGAGAUUGUUCCCUUUCGUCUCACCCAAACUAUGGAAGCAGCUUUAGGACUGACAGGAAUAGAAGGGACCUUCAGAGCAAACUGUGAGGCUGUGCUAGAAGUUCUGAGAAAGAACAAAGAUAUACUCCUAAUGCUGCUAGAAGUUUUUGUGUGGGAUCCUCUUGUGGAAUGGACCCGUGGUGAUUUCCAUGAUGAUGCCACUAUAGGUGGUGAAGAAAGAAGAGGCAUGGAGUUGGCUGUUAGCUUGAGUCUAUUUGCAUCUCGUGUGCAGGAAAUUCGUGUCCCCUUGCAGGUUCUAGUCAUUUCCACUGAAUGAUAAUUGCUUUAUUUCUAUUUUCCUCUCUUUAAUUAUAGUGUCUUUUCUGCUAGUAUUUCUAGUUCAUUUAUGCUUAUAAACCACCAAUCAAGUUCACCUAUAAAAGGUGUACAAAGAAGAUGACCAAUCAGCCAGAUGCUGUUGAGCCAAUCAUUUGAUUGUGUGAUAAUGUUGGCUAGUUUGAAUGGAAAUCAUGUAGGUGAUACCGACGAUAAAAGGGUCCUUGGAAGUAGUAGUUUGUUAUUGCUGUUUGUAUUAAGUUAACAGGGAGAGAGGUACUUGUAUGGGGGGAAAAAGAGAGAGAAGGAGAGGGUAAGCUGGGAGGGAUUCAGGACCAUCCAACUUCCUUAAGAACUAAUAAUAUUGAUUUGUAAGCCAUGUCUGAGAUUUUGACAUGCUUCAAGUCAAUUAAGUUAUUUGAUGUGUGCUAUUAUAUAUGUAUAACACCUAUUUCCUCAUUUAAAAGAUGGAAUUAUCUCUAUCACACCUUGAAAGUUCUUAAUUUUCAAAAUUCAUUUCUUAUUGUCCAGAAAAUUUUCAGUCCAUCUUGGUAGUGCUUUACUCACUCAGAAGUUAGUGAUCACAAAACAUAAAACUUGGACUCAUUACUGUACAAUAGAUGAAAUGUUCUUUUUUACCCCAAAAAAAAAAAAAAUACUGUACAAUAAUGAUUUAUUGAAUUGUGGAAUUCAAUACUAACCUAGGUUCCAUUAUAACUCUCUAAAUUUAAAAGAACUAAAAUGUUUUGAGUUUAUGUUUAAUAGAUUUUGCUUGUGCAAACUCAUUAUAACUCUUAACAUUUUCCAGGAGCAUCAUGAUCUUUUAUUGGCUGCCCUACCUGCUGCUGAGUCUUCUCUUGAGGUACUGUACUGCUUGACACUUGUAUCUUGUUUGUAAUUUCCUGAGCUUCUACCAUCUUCACUUGUUGCUUCCAUGAAUUUCUCUGAACCAAAUAAUCUAUUCCAGGGGUUUGCAAAUGUCCUAAAUCACUAUGAGCUUGCCUCUACGCUCUUUUAUCAAGCUGAACAAGAAAGAUCAAGCAUAGUUUUGCGUGAAACAUCAGCUAAGUCAGUUGUUGCUGAUGCAACAUCUAGUGCAGAGAAAGUUCGUACACUAUUUGAAAUGCAGGCUCGAGAGCUUGCUCAAGGUAAGGCUAUUGUUUCUGAGAAAGCUCAAGAGGCAUCAACCUGGAUUGAGCAACAUGGAAGAGUCCUUGAUAAUAUAAGGAGCAAUUUGAUUCCCGAAAUAGACAUGUGUUUGAAUAUGAGAGCAAUUGGAGAAGCUUUGUCACUUAUAUCUGCCGUUACGGUGGCUGGAGUUCCAGUGACAGUUGUACCUGAGCCCACUCAAGUGCAAUGUCAUGAUAUAGAUAGGGAGAUUUCUCAGCUUAUAGCUGCACUAAGCGAUGGACUUUCUUCUGCUAUAGCUACAAUUCAAGUUUAUUCUGUUUCUUUGCAGAGAUUUCUUCCUCUAAACUAUGUAACGACUAGUGUAGUUCAUGGCUGGGCUCAGGCUUUACAAUUAUCUAAGAAUGCCCUCUCCUCUGAUAUUAUUUCACUUGCUAGAAGACAGGCUACUGAACUUAUGAUGAAAGUAAAUGAUAAUAAUGAUUCUGUACAAGUCAGUCAUGACAAUAUGUGUGUUCAAGUGGAUAAGUACGCAAAGGAAAUUGCAAAAAUUGAAGAAGAGUGUACUGAGCUCUUGACCUCUAUUGGUACAGAAACGGAAUUGAAAGCUAAGGAUCGGCUUCUAUCAACUUUUACUAAAUAUAUGACGUCUGCUGGCCUUGUAAAGAGAGAAGCUAUUCCAUCUCUCCAGAUGGGACGAGUUACACAUGAUGGGAAAAAGGACAUCAACAUGCAGCUGGAGCUUGUGGCAGAAAAGGAGAAAAAGGAAAAGCUACUAUCUAGUAUUAACGUUGCUCUGGAUAUUCUAUACUGUGAGGCAAGAGGAAAAAUACUGGACAUUUUGAAUGAUAUGAAUGAUGGGAGACUAGUGAAUAGAACUACAUCUCAUGAUUUUAAUGUUGUUUUCUCCAAUCUAGAAGAGCAAGUGGAGAAAUGUAUGCUUUUGUCAGAGUUUCAUUCUGAAUUAUUGGAUUUGAUUGAUGUUAAGGUGCUGAGUGUUGAAAACAAAUAUAAAAGUUGGCAUAGGAAUCAUUCUCAUAGAAAUUGGACUUCUACUUUUGCUGUCAUGUUCUCUUCUUUCAAAGACCUGAUAGGGAAAAUGACUGAUGCUGUUCUACCUGAUAUAAUUAGAUCUGCUAUUUCGGUGAAUUCAGAAGUUAUGGAUGCAUUUGGGCUGGUCUCACAAAUUCGAGGAUCAAUUGAUACAGCACUAGAUCAGUUUCUUGAGGUUCAAUUAGAGAAGGCUUCGUUAAUUGAAUUGGAAAAAAAUUAUUUUAUCAAUGUUGGCCUCAUUACAGAGCAGCAGUUGGCCCUUGAGGAAGCUGCUGUAAAGGGCAGGGAUCAUCUCUCUUGGGAAGAGGCCGAGGAGCUUGCUUCAGAGGAGGAAGCUUGCAGGGCAGAACUGCAUCAACUCCAUCAAACAUGGAACCAGAGAGAUGUACGCAGCUCGUCUCUUGCAAAGAGGGAGGCUAAUUUAGUACAUGCUUUGGCUUCAUCGGAAUGCCAGUUUCAAUCUCUUAUCAGUGCUGCAGUGGAGGAGACUUUUACGAAAGGCAACACCUUAUUGGCCAAAUUAGUUAAACCAUUCUCUGAACUGGAAUCUAUUGAUGAAAUCUGGUCUUCCUCUGGAGUUUCUUUUUCAUCUAUCUCAAAUGGGAUUCCUACUUUGUCAGAUGUGGUGAGUUCUGGGUAUCCAAUAUCUGAAUAUAUUUGGAGGUUUGGUGGACAAUUAAGCAGUCAUUCUUUCUUUAUUUGGAAAAUUUGUGUUGUGGAUUCUUUCCUUGAUUCGUGCAUACAUGAAAUUGCUUCAGCCGUGGAUCAGAAUUUCGGAUUUGAUCAGCUCUUUAAUGUUAUGAAGAAAAAACUUGAGCUUCAGCUUCAAGAAUAUAUUUUUAGGUACCUUAAAGAACGGGGUGUUCCUGCAUUCUUGGCUUGGCUGGAUAGAGAAAGGGAACAUUUAAAACCACUGGAGGCAAGAAAAGACAAUUUCCAUGAACACCAUGAUGAACAAAUUAAAGAUUUGGAAUUUAUUGAGAGGAUCCGAUACAUGCUGCAGGAACACUGUAAUGUGCAUGAAACUGCCAGAGCAGCAAGGUCUACAGUUUCACUUAUGAGAAAACAGGUGAAUGAGCUCAAAGAAACUCUUCAGAAGACUAGUCUGGAAAUUAUUCAAAUGGAGUGGUUACAUGACAAUAGUUUGACUCCAUCACAAUUUAAUAGGGCCACCUUGCAAAAAUUUCUCUCUGUUGAGGAUAGGUUAUACCCUAUUAUUCUAGACCUUAGCCGAUCUGAAUUGCUGGGAAGUUUGCGAUCGGCUACUUCAAGGAUAGCUAAGUCAAUUGAAGGCCUAGAAGCUUGUGAGCGAGGCUCUCUUACAGCUGAAGCACAGCUGGAGAGAGCAAUGGGGUGGGCUUGUGGUGGCCCAAAUACUGGUCCGGUGAUAAAUACUUCUAAGGCUUCAGGGAUUCCUCCUCAAUUCCAUGACCAUAUCUUGAGGCGGAGGCAGUUGUUAUGGGAAACUAGAGAAAAGGUAUCAGAUAUUAUUAAGAUUUGCAUGUCUAUAUUGGAAUUUGAAGCAUCAAGAGAUGGCAUGCUUCAAUUUCCAGGAGACCAUGCUUUUAGUACAGAUAGUGAUAGCAGGGCAUGGCAGCAAGCUUACUUGAAUGCAAUAACAAGACUGGAUGUUUCUUAUCAUUCCUUUUCCCGUGAGCAAGCUUUUCUCUUUUAUGUUGAUGUUGUCUCAUUGCACUAUUAAGCCCUUUUGGUUCUAAAGAAAAAUUGUUUAGAUAUUUUUAAAAAAAUCCUGAAAUCCAGAAUAAUAUAAUAAUUAUCGUCAAAAUAUAUAGGUUCUGAAGAUAUAUGUGGUUUAUUAUCAAGCUUGAGAUAGUUACAAAGUGAAAGUUUAGUCCCUAGAUGAAAGAUAUAUUUUCUAGAAUUGUCCCCGGGAGUUAUAUUUUUAGAUAUAGUAUUUUUGGGGGUAGAAUUUGUUUCUUUAAAGAUGAUACUUGGGCUACAAUAAGGAAAUUUUUAUCUUUCAGGUUAACUGAUGAUUCCUUAUUCUUUGCGUCUUCUACUAGGUACUGAACAAGAAUGGAAGCUUGCAGAAAGAAGCAUGGAGGCUGCCUCAAACGAAUUAUAUGCUGCAACCAAUAAUCUUCGCAUUGCUAAUCUUAAAAUGAAGUCCGCUUCAGGUCAUGCAUCUUUCUGUUAUUUAAGCUGAGCAAGUACAUAGAUAUAUACACAAGCAUUACACAUUUUCCUCAUUUGACAUUUGACAUACGCAAGUUUUUAUCUUUAUGGUUUAUGCACUAAGAUUAUCCUUGUAUACAAUAUUUUCAACAGUACCUUUUGCUCAUUGCUUGAACAUAUUGGCUGUCUUUGUAGGUGAUUUACAAAGCACUCUUCUCAGUAUGAGAGAUUGUGCAUAUGAAUCAAGUGUUGCACUCUCAGCAUUUGGUAGUGUCUCAAGGAACCACACUGCAUUGACCUCUGAGUGUGGUUCUAUGCUUGAAGAGGUAACUGAAUAUAUCUAUGAAGCUCAGGAUUUGAUUUGAGGUGAUUGUGUCGCCAGCAAUAUUUCUGGAUUUGUUGUCAGGAUGUUGUUCCUUCAAAAGGAAAUCAGCAAGUCCUAAAAGGCACCUGCAGGCUUCAAUUUCACUAAUCUCUUUUACAGAAGACGAUAAUGGUUAACAUGGGGCCAACCUGAACAUAGCUCUGUUGAUUUGAAUCAACUUUUAUCAUAUCUCUGAUUGCCAUCAAUUCAUCUAAAAUAAUCGAUAUAUUAUUCUAUGCACAAUGCAUCCAUCUUUUUUUUGUAGGCUUAAAUUUCAGUAAUCUCUUGUAUGGAAGAUGAUAACUGUGAUUAACAUGAGACCAAUCUGAACAUUACUCAAUUGGUUUAAGCAUAUACCUUCGAUUUGAGAGGUCAAUGAUUGAAUCACCCAACAAGAUGUUAAACUGAAAAAAAAUAUGGUUGUGGGAAGCAAAAUAAAAUCGUUAAAGAUUUUCUAUGCUUUAUAGAUGAUUCUAAAAUUUGCUCUCAUUGGCAUCUUUUCCUUCACCUGUUUAUAUGAUUUUUUAAUUGUUUGCACUUAAGAUUGUUUGAUCUCUUUUGAUCAAGUAUAUGACAAAGUUCUUUUUCUGUUCAAAUGCAGCUAAUAUUUCUACAUUUCCUGUAGGUACUAGCAAUAACCGAAGAUCUGCAUGAUGUUCAUAAUUUGGGAAAGGAGGCUGCUGUAAUUCAUCGUCAACUUAUUGAAGACAUUGCGAAGGUAUUUUGAUCAAUCAUUUACGUGACUAAAUCCCAGUCUAUUUAAUCUAGACAUUCGUGCUGCAGAGCAUGAUAGAGUAGUCUGCUUCCAACUGUAGUCAGCUUAUAGCAUUCCCCAUGUGAAUUGAUACUGGUUAUGGUAUUUCCCAUUCCAGUGCCAUUGUUUGCUUAUUGUUUCACUUCUUAAGCAGGCAAAUUCAGUCCUCCUUCCCCUUGAGGCAAUGUUAUCCAAGGAUGUUGCUGCCAUGAUUGAUGCUAUGGCUAGAGAAAGAGAAAUCAAGAUGGAAAUAUCACCUAUACAUGGACAAGCUAUAUAUCAGUCCUAUUGUUUGAGAAUUAGAGAGGCCUAUCAGAUGUUCAAGCCUUUGGUCCCUUCUCUGACAUUAUCUGUGAAGGGUCUGUAUUCCAUGUUUACCAAGCUUGCACGAACAGCAGGUCUCCAUGCUGGAAAUCUUCAUAAAGUAUGAAUGGAGUCUAUAGUUCAGCUCGUUGAUUUCAUGAAUUAUUUUACAAUGCUUCUGAUGUUACUGAAUUUCCACCAAAUGUGAAAUCUACUUUUUCAGGCUCUUGAAGGACUAGGAGAAAGCCAGGAAAUUAAGUCAGAGGGAAUUCACAUAACUAAGUCUCAGUUCAAUAGUGAAGUAGAUGCAGUUGACUUCGAAAAGGAGAGAGAAAGCCUCUCCUUGUCUGAUAGUGAGAGUAGCGGAGAUAUCCCUGAUAUUACCAGACUUUCUUUGCAAGAUAAAGAAUGGUUAUCUCCACCUGAUAGCUUCUGCAGCAGCAGCUCUGAGUCUGACUUCACCACUAGUAGCUUUCCAGAUAGCUCCAACGACCUAACAGAGGAUAUGGGUCAACACUAUAACGGGUCUAGUGACAGAGAAGCUAGAGUUAUUCCAAAAAUUACCUCAUUUUCUCAAACUGACGUUGGAAAAAUGUUACGUUUGGAGGAGUCAGAAACAAAAUCCACAGAUGGUAGCCAAACCUGUUUUAGAAAGUUAUCAACCAAUGAGUUCAAUGGAGGAAUUAAAAUUGUUGCAACACCACCUGAUGAAUCUAUUGAAGUUCCUGCUAUUGCGUCACAUCCGUUGAAUGAGACUGUUGAAAGACUGGAGGAGGAAAGUGGUGUAACCUCAUCAGAUAAGAGAUUAGAAGAUGAAAAUCAAGAGGCUCCUCCAGCUCAGAAGGCUGCUUGGAGUCGUGCAAGCAGGGGUAAGUAGUGUACCUUCACUCAGACACAUAUCUAUUAUCCUUAAUUCCCAAUUAGCGUUUCCACUGCUGCACUAGAUGAUAUUUAUGAUUACAUGUUUUAUUUAUUGAUCGAUGUUCUUAAUGUUUUCAUUAUUUUAAAUUAUGCAUAUGUGGAUAGGGGAAUUAGCUAUUUUAGAACGGAAAACUAUCACAAAGAAUACAACUGUAAGGAAUCUCCACAAGAGUCGCAAUAUAUUAUCACGAUCCCAAAAUUCAAAGUUCAUACCAGUUCGAGAGGGUGGAUAUCUCCUUGCUGUAUCACCAUCUAAUACAAAAGAUAACAUAACCCAAAAUACAAUGACUAAAAAUAUUAUGUUGUUUUGUUUAUCUUGUAGUGUGCUUCUAAUGCGUAUUAAAUCAGAACUACUGUUCUUUAUUGCAUAUAAAUUAGCCUCAGUUCCUUGCUUUACUUUCGGAUUCAGUAAAAUUUGCUUUUGAUUAUUGGAAAGUCAGCACAAUUUUCUUGUAUAUGAGCUUUGCAUUCAGAGGGAAAACUGAAUCGUCCCCAUUUGAUGUGGCAUUGCAUAUUUCAUUCCAAAAGUUGAAGUCUUGUGUUAUGGUCCUCUCAGGUAGAAAUGCAUACGCAACGUCUGUUUUACGGCGUGUAGAGAUGAAACUCAAUGGAAGAGACAAUGUCGAUAACAGGUACCUACUCUUAACUUGGCGCUGUUGACAAUCUCUAUGCUGGAUUUCUAACUAUCUUUUAACUAACAGAGAACUUAGCAUUGCUGAGCAAGUGGAUUAUCUACUUAAGCAAGCAACGAGUGUAGACAACCUGUGCAACAUGUAUGAAGGUUGGACCCCAUGGAUUUGAAAUUUGAAGACCGAGGAAUCUUGGAUACCUGUACUGAUGGAUGGUUAGCAGAGGUUCGUCGAGAAAUACUAGCACCAGAUUCAUUAAUCCAGAACUUGGAAGAACAUGCUGGGGUAUGUUCAAAGUUACUACCAUGCGGGACCUCUUGUUUGCUGCAUUGGUUCGCCCUACAGCUGGAUUCAUUUCAUCAUAUGAAUUAUUCAGUCACAGUGUGAAAGAAAGUAACAGCGAUUGCUCGAAAAGCUGCGCAAGAUCCAUCUUGGCAUUUCCAUUACUGAGCUGUGCACAUGAACUAUUGACGAAGUGUCCAAACAGCGUUCACGUUCUUCACGUUCCAAUAUGCUGCCCCACGCAAGGUCGAGGGCAGGUAAUAUGGGCCACGUCUGGGGCUUCAAAGUUAUAACGAAACCAAGCUUUGGUCCAUUUGGCAUCUGAGAUGUUGCUUGGGAAUAUUGCAAUGUUGAUGCUGAGGAGUUGUGGGUUUUUGGUAACGAGCUAUUUACUGCGUGGAUAAUCUGAAGAAGGUAGAACAUCACUUCCGCAGAAGAUGAGAAAUUGCAUAAUGUAAUGAAUUAUUGUAUCAUUUAGGAAAAUGAUUAUUUAGCCAUUCAAAUAGGUUAUAUACUUUAUCCAUAACUGUGAAAAUUGGAAUGUAAAUGUAGACUGUAAAUGUCAUGAUAGUUUGUCACUCUUUGUUUUGUUGGGUUUUUACUUAUGUAUGGAUGUUAUGUGAUGUUAUUGAAGGCAAGUUGAUUAAUUUGGUCAAAUAAUUACAUUUUUUUUCAUGCCAGAAGAAACACCAUUUAGUAUAUUUUCAAAGUUUAUAACAAGAUUAUGCUAAUGAAAUUACUUAUUACUUAUGCACUACACCCAUCAAUUUAUCUGACUAUUUAUUUUUUUCAAAAAAGUUUUUAAAAUUCUUUUUUAAGUGAACAAUAUAUAAAUAGGUACAAUCCAACUUACAAUGUCCACGUCACCAACAAGGAUAGACUUGAAGUGAAGUAAUGAAUCCACAAGCAAAUGGUUUAGUCUCUUCCUAUGGGAAGUGAAGAAUCUCCCUUUUCCCAUAGAAUAGAAUUAAAAAUCCCUUUUCCCAUAGAAUAGAAUUAAAAAUCCCUUUUCCCAUAGAAUAGAAUUAGACAAACAAAUUAAAUGAAACUCAAAACUCAAAACUCAAAACCAACCAAUUCUAACAGUUUGUUAAGCACACAGAUAUAAAUCCAGUUUUUUGAAGCUUACUCUUUAAGUGAUCUUAUUUAUAUUGAAACUCUCAUGUUCCUCUAUUUUCCAUCAUCGCAAAUAUAUUUUCCUCUACUUCUUACUCUAGAUUCUAUUACUCCUCGUCAUGUCGGGGCUCGUAGACCUAUGGACUUCUGAGCAGGCUAAACUCCGCCACGAGGGUGGCUCCUCCCCCGCCGCUCCCACCGUUGAUGUGGCUGAACAAGGAAGAUGGAACUCCACUGAGUUAACUCGAGUUUGGGACCGAGUAAGACGACUCGGUAUGAAUGGGAAGAUGUGUUCUGAAGCUUCUGUUUGUAUGUUGGUUGAAUUUAUGAGUCCAUAGAGAUUCAAAACAUCUCACUGUACAUAAAACACUUUCAAUAAAACUUUCCUUUUUCAAUAUCUAUAAUUUGCCUUUAGUUACUUGGGUUAGAGAAUACGAGUAUUAUAUAUCAAUUCAAUUAUGUUCCUUUUGGCUUGAAAUACUAUUUUUAAUAUAACUAUGCGGUGGGGUGGGAAUUGAACUUUCGACCUUACCUUCAAUUUCAAGAAGGUUUGAAUCAAGAUUUGCCAUUUCUUCAACUUUCACUUUCACUACUAUCAUCCCAUGUAGCCUUCAUUGUCUUCUUCUUGGAUUUCUUAGAUGAUUUGAGGAGAGGACAAUCCGUUCUUAUAUGACCCAAUCUUUUGCAUUCAUAACAAAUCACCUCAUCUUUUUUGCUUUUCUCACCUUUUGACUCUUUUUAGAUUGAUAGGUGUUUCUUGAAAUAUUUCUUUCUUUUUAUGAAACUUUUGUAUUUACGUGAGAAAUAAGCAAUGUCAUCUUCAUCAAGGCCAUCCUCAUCUUCGGGAUCAACUUUCAAGGAGAUAGUCUUUAAUGCAAUGGUCUUUUUCUUUUUUGACUCAUCCUCCAAGUGUUCAUUCAUGAUGAUCUCAUGAGUCAUGAGUGAGCCAAUAAGCUCCUCUAGUGGAAGUUUGGUGAGAUCCUUUGCUUCUUGAAUUGCCGUUACCUUAGCUUCCCAAGUCUUAGGUAGAGACCUUAGAAUUUUUCUAACAUUUUCAGAAGUUGUAUAAACUUUACCAAGACCCUUCAAAGCAUUUAUGAUGUUAGUAAAUCUAGUAAACAUAUCGGUGAUAGUCUCAUUAGCAUCCAUCUUAAACAAUUCAUAAUUAUGAACAAACAUGCUAAUUUUAGACUCUUUAACUUGAUUUGUUCCUUCAUGAGUAAUUUCAAGAGUAUUCCAAAUUUCUUGAGCGGAAGAACACAUGGAUAUUCUAUUAAAUUCAUCUUUACUCAAGGCACAAUACAAACAAUUAAUAGCCUUAGCAUUUAAAGAACACUUUUUCAUUUCAUUUUCAUCAUACUCUUCUUCUAAUUUAGGCGUAUCAACAUUAUCAACAUUUUUCAUGGGUACAUAAAGACCUUUAGCAACAAUUAACCACAAAUUAUAGUCAAUAGAUUGCAAAUAAAUUUUCAUUCUUGCUUUCCAAUAUGCAUAAUUUGAAUCAUCAAAAUAAGAAGGUCUAGAAAUAGAUUGACUUUCAACAAUCCCAUUUGCCAAUAGGUUUGCUAUAAUGCUCUAACAAGAAAGUUUAUCAAGAAAUUAAAAUUUCAAGAUGAGCAACCUUACUCUGAUACCAAUUGUUGGAUCGGUAUGGCAGCCCUAGAGGGGUGAAUAGGGUUUAAAUAAACUUUUUGACAAAUAAAAAGUAAAAUCAACUAAUUAGAUAUUUUUUUAAUUUAAAUGAUUGAAAAACUUUGUAAACUUUGUUAAAUAAUCAAGAUUGAUAAAAAGAUAUGAAUGGAAGUAUACAAUCAAACUCAACCAAUAAGAAUAUGUAACUAAAAUUAAAUUAAAAAAUAAUUAGAAAAGAGUUAGAGAAGAAGACACCGUAAUUUUAUAGUGGUUCGGUUAAACUCAACCUACAUCCACUUUCCCAAGCACCUCUUGGGAUUUUGAUUGAAAAUCUUCUUUGGACUCUUUCCACGGAUUUGAGCCGAACCGAUUCUUGCUCCUUUUUCGGGUUCAAGAGCAAACCCGAUCCUUUCCACGGGUUAGGAUCCAACCGUUACAAUAUGUUGAAAUUUUUAAAUCACACAAAAGAAAACUCUCUAAAAGAGUGAGUAUACAAUUUGAAGCUCACAAAUUUAAUCCUCACAAUACAAUAAGAAGCUCUCAAGAAUAAGAUGAAAAGAAUAAAAAUUGGAAGCUUUAGGGAGAAUAACAAUGUUGGUUUUUUGCACUUUUUCAGGAUUGUAAAGAUUUAAUGAUCUUGUGUCUUUUUAAAAUUUGGGAAAAGUGAAGUAUUUAAAAAGAGAGAAAAGAUAAAUUCAAAAUCAUUUUGGGUCAUUAGAUAUAAGUAAAAGAAAAAUAAAUGAUUGAGAUUUAAACUCAAUUAGCCGUUAGACACAAUACAAAUAAUAAUAUAAUAAUAUGGCUUUUCAAAAUACUUUGUUUAAAAAAAAACCAAUAAAGCAACUUCACCAUUUUUUUUAAAAAAAAACUAGCCGUUAGACAAGGAAAAAUAAUAAUAUUAAAGUCAUUUUCUUUAUAAAAGCCAGUAAAACAUAACCAAAAGCCACAUUUGUUACUCCUUCAUUGCUCCAAGUGGCUUUCUCUAAUUGGUUCAAAUUGAAUGCUUGGUCGCCACGUCACCAUCUCGGGUAUUUUUUCGUUAAGCUUCUUUUAGCAAUAUUUUCUUCAUUUGAACUUCGAUUUGGGUGAUUCAAGAGGCGUUAGAAUCAUUUUUCCAAGCUCUACGAUAUGGUCUAUUCAAAUUAAUAAAAUUGUCAAUAAAAAAAAUCAGAUUUGUUAUCAUCAAAACAUAAAUUAAUUGAAUAAUUAAAAUAAAUUAAUUUGAGAUUAAGGGCCAAAAAGCCAACAAUCAACUCAAGUGAGAUCUUUAAAUAAGAACCGAGAUAACAUACUAAAAUACCUAAAAGGAAACGAUUGCUAGCCUACUCAAUAUGCAAAUGACAAUAAAAACAUAAUUUGUAAACAACAGUAAGCAAUAUUCACCUUAUUUUUCAUGAUGGCUUCCAAAGAUAUGAAAUGUGAAAGGAAAGAAGAGAAAACUCAAACAAUUGUAGAAAGUUUCUUGGGAGUUGGUGGUGAAACUUCUUGAGAUAACCAUUUCAUUUUUCAAUAUAACAAUUAUAUUUUCGGUUAUGAGAGCAUUUUCGUCACAACUGAAAAAUUAAAUCUGGGAUGCAUGUUACUAUAUUCACAAAAACUCGAGCAAAUCUCCAACAUACAAAUUAUAUUAUAUCUUGGGAUCGAUUAUGGUCGAGAUUUUUCGAAAAAAACAAAAAUGUAAUUUUUUUUAAACUAUGCUACUUUUGAAAUGUAAAACCUAAGCUGUGUUGUUUUUGUCAAUUUGUCAUUUUUUUUCUUACAAAAUUUCAUGUAAUGUUUCAUGAAACAAAAGGCAAAGCAAAAACAUAUCUAAAAUCAAAUCACAAACUCAUUUAUAAAUUUAUACAUAAUUUAUUGAGAAGCACAUGUUUUGAUUUAAUUUAAGAACAUGCGUUGAUUUUCUUUCUAGUAGGAUAAAAAAAAGUUCCAAAGAAGUUUAAAAAGUCUAACUUAAACGGACCAUAAAUCUACCUGUGAUUUUGUUUUUGGAUAAUUAAGGAUUUGUAGAAUUUUUUUAAGAAUAAUAAUUAAGUGUAGAGCAACAUUUUCAAAAUAUUGUAAAUUUAGCAAACUCAAAAUGGUUAUCGAGUGAUGGAUAUAUUAUAUUUCUAAUAGAUUAUUUUGACAGAUUUAACUAUAUUUGUAAUGUUUUAAGAUGUUGUUAUUUAUCCUAACAUUUUGAAUCUAAUUAUUAUGGUUUCAACUAUCAUAUGUGUUACUUUUUAGUAGUAUAAAUUUGGGUAAAGAAAUUUGAACGAGGUACGAAUCUUUAAGUUUUAGCUGUGAUGAAAUUUAUACAUAUACCAUCCAAAUUUGAUCUUUUUAAAUGAUAUUUUUUUUGAGUUGACUCAAUUUUAGUAUCAAUAUACUUUUAUAAUUCAAUUAUAGUCCUCCUACUUUCAAUAAAUUUUAAAUUUCACUACUAUGUAAAGAAAUUUACAUGAAAUUUAAAUAAAUGUCAUGACCAUUUUUACAUGAAUAAUUAAACAAUUGACUUUCAUGCAAACAAAUAUAGUAUGUGAAAUAUAUUUUCAAAAUUUAUAUAUAGUAAAAGGUUUUUAAAAAUGAACAAUAAAACUAGCUUUAUCGUUGGCUAAAUUUAUGAUUUAUUGAAAGUGUGCGUGGAUAAAAGUUAGAUAAUUGAAAAUGUAAGAACUAAAAUAUAACAAUUUUGAAGAUAUAGGGACGAAAAUGAAUUUUAACCGUCAUCAUUAAUAUAAAUUAAAAUGAUUAAUAAUAAUUUUAGUUAACAAUGUUCUACAUUAUAUAUUCCAAUUCGGAGUAUGAUUGUGUCAUUACUACUAUUCAUUACAAUAUUAUUGUACCAAAGGAUUAAAAUACUGAUAUGUCAUUGUUGAUAUCGAGAUUUCAAUUUUAUGAAUAUAUUAAUAAAAUAUCAAUAUCGACACAUAUUAAUUUCUAAAAGUUACAAAUUUUUUAAAUUUAUUUAGAUUAUUAAUUUUAUUUUUAACCCAAAACUAAGUUAUAUCCAUACAGUUAUUAGUAUAUUAAAUUUAUAUUAGAAAUAUUAGAUGUAUAUAUUGUCUUUUACGAGCAUUUAUUAAAGAUGUUGGAUAUAUCCAUAGAUAUUUAAUAUAAUUCAUAUCUAACUCAUUGACUUACAAAUCCAUCCACAAAUAUAUCGCAUAUGCAUGGAUAUAUUUUAAUCCUUCGUUAUACCUUCCUAAACAAAACAAAUGCAUAACACAUCUUUCUUCCAACAAUGAAAAAUUUCUUCCAGGUAAUAAUCAAUGUUAUCAAGGACAAAAGGUACAAAAGAUGAAUAAAUAAACACAAAUAUAUUUUUGUUUAAAAGUUUCAAAUUAAGAUUAUACAAUGUUAUUGAAAUACUAUUUGUAUUCCUUUUUUCGAUCAAAUGUAACAACAACAAUCUUUUUCAUUCGAAGAGCCAUCUAACUUGGGAUAGCAAAACCCACCAUUUUUUGUCUGUUUGAGACAAUCAUUAUUACACGAAACAUUAUCGUCUGGGUUUGAGCAGGGUUUUAUACAACUCAUGAAUAUAUCUCCUUUUGCUGCCAUAUGAUAAAAUACCAAUAUUGUUAAUAAUAUAUUUUUCAAUUGAAAGAACAUAACAUUAUGAAACUAUUAGAAGGAUUAUGAGAGAAAAACAUACUUGAUAAGACAAAACAUGUGAAUAUCAUCAAGAUAACGAUGAACACCGUAAAAUUUUUCUGAUUUGCCAUGUCCUUUAGAUGUUAUUAACGUGUUUAAAAAAGUUCGAGGAGAACUAAUUUAUAGUAUCUUAGCAACAAUAACUAAAAAACGGUACGGUGCUAAAUAUGUCGUUAAAAACUCAAAUUGAUUUUGUUAAUUUAGUUUAUAAAAACUAAAGUCUAUAUGGAAUUUUUAGAAAAAUAGAAAGAGAUUGGUAAUUGAGACUAUUUUUAGAAAAAAACUGAAAUGAUAAAUUACACAUGAAUUGAUCCUAAAAGUCAUCUGAAGAAAAAUAGGGUUAGCAAUGUGAGGGGGAAUGGUAAAAAAAAAGAAAAGAAAAAGAAAAAACCAAAUCGAUCAAUUACAACCCACUAAAGAUCCAUAGCAAGCCAUCAAACUAAACUACGAAUGUGAUUGAUAACUCCCUCAUAAGUGAGUUAUUAAGUCCCAAAAGGCUUGACUAUCAAGUAUAAAACAUGUGCAUGUCUUGUUAUAUUUGAUCACUUUAUGACUAAUUUUAUGCAAAAAACCAAGCUACUCAUGCAUGUCUUUUUGAGCCUUGAUUAGCAAAUUAGUAACGUAAAUUAUGUACAAAAAGAGUCCAAUCUUUAGUAAUUCUUGAGUUUAUAUAUCAUUUGAAAUUGUUGCUGUAAUUUUUAACAAAUAGAAAGUUCCAAGAUUUUUGAGAUACGUUCAUUCUUUUCAAAUUCAAUAAAAUCAUAUAAAAAAAUUUGCAUUUGAAUAAUUUGAAUAUAUUCAAGCUAAAUCGUGUAGGAAAAAGUUGCAAGGUGUUCUAGAGAAACAUUAUUUUCUUGAAAAUCUUUAAAAGACGUCGUUUCUGCUUUCCAAUGCAUCACUGAACAUCAAACUCAUGCUAUCUAGAAACUCUAGCUACCGUUUUACAUGUUACAUCAUUCACAGUUAAUAACCAUACCCUAAUAUAAUGGCCGUUGUUGUUUUUGAUUCUUUUCAUCCUUUUCAAUUUUCUUUUGGGUGCUUUCUUUACAAGAACAAGCAUAAGUACUAGCCAUUAUUCAUCUUGAAAGAGAGCUUAGGAAGAUCAAUAGGCAAGUUGAGAAUUUAUCUUGUACUUUUACAUCUCACAUAUUUCAUACAUUCGUUUUCAUCCAUUUAUAAUAUGACUUCUUCUCUUCUUUGCUUCUUGAGUUCCUUAUUUUUCAUUAUGAGCUAAACAUCAUUUUAGGAUUAAGGAUAUACUAAGAAUGUAAUAAAUCCUCCACACGUGUCCUAUUUAAUUACCUUGCUCAACAUUUAUUUUACCUUCGAUUUUAUUGAUUUUAUGCAUUUUUUGAAUUUUGAUUAUCACAUAAGUUGGCAUAUAAUGUUGAGUCUUGUAUCAAAAUAGUUAGAUAAUAAAAUGAAUUAAGAAAAAUAAUAUAGGACAAACAGCUAGAGCCCUAGAAAUAGGGUAUAAUGCCUAUAUGAUCAAUAUUGAAUUGGAGUUAACCAUAUCUUAAGUUGUAGUUAGUCAUAGAAAUAGGUGUUUCAUUGCAUAGUCCUCUAAAUGUUCUUCUUUAUGGGAGUUGGCUCCAUUUGAUUUGGUUAAGUGUCUACGUUGUGUGCACAAUCUCUGAUCGCAUAUAGUUUAACUCCGUUUGUUUUUUUGGGGUCGAUUCUGGCUGAGAUUGCCUGAGAAAAACAAAAAUGCAAGUUUUUUUUUUAAAGUGCGCCACUUUUAAAAUAUAAAACUUAAACUGUGUCGUUUUUGUCAUUUAUUUCUUUUUUUACAUAUUUUGUCAUUUAUUUUCUUUCCAUGAAACAAAUGGAGCAUAAAUAUAUACAAAAUUAAAUCACAAAUUCAUUUAUAAAUUUAUACGUGAUUUAUUGAGAAGCACACAUUUUGAUUUAAUUUAAGACAUGGGUUGAUUAUCUUUCUAGUUGAAUAAAAAAAGUUUCAAAUAAGUUUAAAAUGUCUUUUAACUUAAAUGUACCAUAAAUCUACGUAAUUUUACUUUUGGAUGAUUAAUGAGAGGUAGCAAUUUUAGAAACAAUAAUAAAGUAUAGAUUACUAAAAUUUCAAAAUAUAAUAGAACACUAAAAUUUCAAAAUAUAAUGUUGUAAAUAUAGCAUCUCAAUAUGGUCAUCUAGUGAUGGAUAUAUUAUAUUUUCUAAUAUAUUAUUUUGGUAGAUUUUGACAUAUUUAACUAUAUUUACGACGUUUUAAAAAUGUUGUUAUAUAUGCUAAUAUUUUGAAUCUAAUUGAUAAAAAUGUUAAUAUAUACUUAAUUAUUAUUCAUAAAAUUGGUAUCCAUUAUUAUUACAUAAAAAAAUGUCAAAAAUAACAAAUUUAACAAAACAUAGCAAAAAAUUUCAGACUUUAUCACAUUGAUAGCAAUUGAUAAGUUUCUAUCAGUAACAUUGUAGAAAUCUAUCGGUAAUAGAUUUCAAAAUUUUGUUAUAACUUGUAAAUAUUUUAAUUUAUUUUACUAUUUUUAAAAAUGUAUUAAAAAAAUAUUGUCUAAUAAUUACUUUUUUGUUUCGUGGAGUUUGAAACAUACCGACAUAUUUAUUUCAUCAAUAAUAAUAAUAGGAAAAAUAUCCCAUAUCAAUAUCUUAUUGAUAAAUUAUAUUAAUCAAGUUAGAGCUCUUUAAAACUAUAAAAAUUUAAUUAAAAUUAUGUUCAAAUGUAGAUUUUGUUACUUUGAUCCUUUUGUACUUAGGAUCAACAUUUUGAAAUGGAUUGUACUGAAGAUGGGAUGAUGAAACAAUCUAUAUCAUUAUUACAAAGAGGCAAAUGGCUAAAGUAGGGUCACUUUUGAAUGUUCAAUUUAGACACUGACUUGGUGUUGGGGAAGGAUGAAAACAUUAGCAGACAUGUGGAUAUACUUGAUGAUAUAUCUAUAAAUUAAAAUAUAAUGUUUGAUAGUGAUAUUAAAAUAUUCACGGAUAUCUCCCACAUCUUCUAUCAAUAAUAAUGCUUCUAAAAUAUAAAAAAUACCAUUCUAAUGGUCUAGAAAUGUGAAUAAGAAAUAUACUAAUAACAAUAUCCAUAACUUAGUAAAAACAACUUAAUUAUUAGUCUACUUAUAAAAUCCAUUAAUAUAAGAAAAAGAAAAUUGAAAUCUUGAUAAUAAUAAUAUCGACAUCAAUAUUUUAAUUCUUUGUAGGUCAAUACCAUAUUGGUUAGAAAAGAGACUUUAUGAUUAUGGUCGAGUAUAUUUUAAUUGGUAUGAGAACUUUUGGAUGGUUCUAAAAGUAAUAUCACAAAAAUGUUUAUAUCCAUAAACAAUAUCAUAUCAUUGUAGAGAUAGAUGAAAUGUUUUAUUGUCUACUGUGAUUUGUCCUCGAUCAUAAAGUUUUAUAAGUAAAUUGGAUAAGACUCGACUUUUCCUUUGUUUUUGUUUUGUGUUUCUAUUCAUUAUUGUGUUAUUUGUUUUCUAUCUACCAAAAAAGGGGACUCCUUUUAGUUUGAAAAAGUGCAAGGGUGAGAUUGAAAUGAUCCCUCGAAGUAUUUUAUAGUGAUAUUUUAUUUAUCGUAUUAUAGUCCAAUCAUAUCACAAAAUAUAUAUAUAUAUAUAUAUAUGAAAAUAUUCCAAUAAUAUCACUUAUAUCACCAAUAUGUUAACCCUAUGUCAUUAAUAUUCAUUAUUAAACUUUUGUUUCCUUAGACCAAUAGUUGUGAUGGUUUCUACGUACCUACUUUUUGUUAUGUAUAGAAGAUAUAUAUUAGCUCUAUGUAUGGAAGACGUGAGGGAUAAAAGGUAAAUCAUUAAUAAUCAGACAACACCCUAAGUUUAGGAUUCUUCUUCUUUAGAUUUAGUCACGAUUCAUCCAUGUUCCACUCUUAGUUAAACAUAGAGCUUUAUUGUUGAUGAAAAUUUUCUAAAAUGAGUUUUUCUAAAUAUGUACAACAUUUAAACAAAUCAGUUCUAUUUUAAUAAUUAAAAUCGUUGGGGCGUUGAGCUCUAAUUAGGCAUUGGUUGAUGCGUCACUUAAGUGAGGUCUUGUGAUAGGACAACAUUUGAUGCAUUCCUUAAGUGAGGCAUUGUGAUAGGACGACCAUUGAUGCAUCACUUAAGUGAGGCGUUGGGAUCAACUAAUGAUCGUUGAAAACCUUACACAUUGGAAAGACUUGAUGUGUUCUUAAUUGAACGUUGAGGUCAACUAUAAAUGAUUGAGGCCAACUAUAUAUAAAUUAUUGAGGCAUUAUACAAUAAACUCAUGAUUGUUUGAACUCAAUCUCUAAACAAAGAGCUUCUCUUUCUCACAAUUUCUCUCAAUCUUCUCCCUCUCUAUUCUUGGUUUUUGAUUAAAAAAAAAGUGUUUUGGCUAGUGUAGCUACAAUCGAAAUUUUGACGCUCUAAGCAGUGCCGCGAAACAUCUUAAAAUUGUUUAAUCUUGAGAACUUUUGCUUGUUUGUUCUUGAACCACAUUUUAUUGGAAGAAGUUUCACAUUAUUAUACCAUAUGUAACAUCUUAGACUCAUUAUUCGAAAUUCAAAUUUGACACAUAAAAUUGCCUUGACAUCGACUCAAUACCAUCUAAAUAAAAUAAUUCAAAAUUUUGCAACAUUUCCAUUGCUAUACAACCUCAAGUGGUGCAAUAUAAUUAAGAUGGAGACAAUGGUAGUGAGAGAGGGAAAGUCGAGGAGUUUGGCCAUUUUUGAAGGUUAAUUUGUUUGAUUACUAUAAGGUCUUCGGGCGGCCAAUACUUUGUAUAAUAAUGCCAUUCUUAUGUGUCCUUUUUCAACUUAUAUGAGACAAUUUUUUUCUUUUUUUUGAAUAAUUCAACCAAAUAUUGAAUUUGUAACACAGUUUCUAGGAUCUUGACGAUGAAAUUGAUAUCACAUGUUAAAUCUUUCAUCUCUUUUAUCUCUAUCUCUAUCUCUACUAUAUUCAAAGUGUAAGUUGGGAGAAUUUUUACAUUUCCAUAUUUACUGAUUCUCAUUUCGGGAUUAAAGAACACCAAUGGAAUCAAAAUUUGAGUGAAGAACAACUUUAAUUUUAUCUUCCAUCAUUCGCUUACUUGUGAUUUUCUCUACUAAACUCUUGCACAGGAUUUUUAAAAGAAGAAAGCAUAAUGCAAAAACUGCUACUGUGAAACAUUUCAUUUAUAAAAAGUUGGCAUCCUUUCCAUAAAGAAUUAAUAGUGGUACGAAUGAAAGGGGUGAAUAAGAAAACCAAUUACACAUAUUUAUGUGAAAAGGUGGGCGUUAUAACACAUCUUUGAAAGAGUGGAGAGUAAAAUAAGUAACUUUUUUUUAUAAAAAAAGUGAGGGUAAAAAAAUUCUCACAUUUAGUUAACUAAUACGAUAUGAACUAAUCGAGUUCACAUAUAAGUGCGAUUCUACAUCUUUUUUGUUUUACUACAAAGAUAGCAAAAUUAAUUGUAAUCACCUUCUUCUAAGAAAGAUUUUGUCUAUGAUUAUGUUGGUAUUAACAUCUAUGAUUAUGUACUACAUAUAUAUGAAAUAAAUUUUUAUACUUAUGCAAUUAAACAUCCAUUUGUUAAAACAAAAACAUUAAAACCUUGAAUUAUUAGGAGUUAUUAUGUUAGCUGACCAUUUAAUUAUUUAAAUAUAAAAACAAUCUAUUUAUUUUAAUAAACCACAUUUUAAGUGGACUAAAAUAUGAUACUAAAACAAACAUUUUAAAAAAUUAUUAUUUUAGAUAUUUAAAUUCUACACAUACACACAACACACAUUAACUAAUUAAUUUUCAAAACUAAAGCUAUUAUUUUAGAUAUUUACAAAUAUAAUAUCUAAAAUCAACUCAAAAACAUCCAAAUUUAGAAGAUAUUUAAAACUCAAAUUCCAGAAAAGCUCUAACCCUUUUUCUUUUUCUUUUUCUUUUUCUUUUGGGAGAAUAUAAACAUAAAUAAUAUCAAGCAAAAAAGUCCAAAUCCUAUAUCAAUAUCAAAUCAAAAGAAAAUUUUGUUAAAGAAAGAAAGAAAGAAAGAAAGGCUGAAUUAUUCAUUUAAUCAGGAUCUCAUAAUUGAAAUAUUUGAUUUAAAGUAUUUUAAUGUGAUGAGGAUCCCACCACACAACCACAUCACCAUCCUUAUCAUCUUCUCUAUCUUUUCUUCAAAUUUCCAAACAAUAAUGCAAAAUUGAAGUCCCCACACGCAACCUCCCUUUCCCAUCACACAUCUCCUCUUUCUUUCUUUCUUUUCCCCUUUCUCUUCCCAUACAAACAUUAUUCUGUGUGCUCUGAAUUAUCUAGUCUUUUCUCUCUAUUGAAUCUGAAAUUAUUAACUAAUCACGGUUAAAGUUAUUUCUUAAUCAAAAUCAUCACUAAUUUAAAGUUACAAACACAUGAGUUGAUAGAUUUCGAAUCUCACAUGUUUUCACUCUAACCAUUUAAUCAAAUAAAAUAUUUUGGUAGUUGAGUUUAAAGAUAUAUUUAAUUUGGUCCAAAGACAAACUAAACCCUACCAAAUUUAAGACUCCCGAGCUUUAGAAGUCUUCCAAUAAUUAGAAUACUCUAUAACUUAUGAAGUUGAAAACUUCUUAAAGAUACCAAGUUUUUUGAAGAUAUAAAUACUAUUCCAAAGCUUGAUUGUGAAAAACUUUUUUACGUUAUUCAUUUUUUCAAAUCAAGUAUGUACUUUAAUCAAAAGAUAAAAUACUAAAAAUUAAAUAUUAAAUAAGUUCAACUCCAAAAAAAACAUCUUUUCUUUCACAAACAUCAUUCAAAUUAUAAUUAAUAUUUUUUUCAAAUCAUAAUUAAUAUUUUUUUCUAAUUAAUAAUUAUUAAAAAUUAUUGUGAGUUUGAAAAUAGUUUAACUAGUUAAUUAGUUUAGUUACAUAUAUGUUUGAUUGUGGUUAAAUUUGGAAUUUAGACUCAUUGAUAAGUAUUAAGCUAAGAAGUAUGUUUUCUAGUCUUGUGUUUUGGGUUGUUCACCAUCACAUAUAUUAUAUACACAUAUAUUUUUUUUUUUAAAAAAAAAAGAAACUUUUUGCCUUUUGAAAAAGUAACCAUAUAAUUUUUUUAAUGGUAGACAACAAAGUUGGAAAGUACAUUUAUAUAUAUAUACAUAAUGGUUUUUUAGGAAUAAUAAUAUGUUUUAGUUAAAAAGAAAAAAAGAAAAAAAAAAUCUAUGUCCAUUGUGUAGAAUAUUCGUAAACCAAAUUCCAUGUGCCAACUCACCCUCAAAUUCCAUCCACCUUCCCUAUAUAAAUCUUCUCCGCACCCUUUCUCAAAAUUCCAUUUUACACAAAGAAAAAAGAAUAACAAAGUAAAAAUGUCGGCAAUGGUAGAGUCAUGGAUGAACGAACUGGGAAAAUGGAGAAACAGAGUUGAAGCUCAAGACAACAACAACAAGAAGCCAUUGAUGCCCAAAUCCAAGCAACUCCAAACAGAUCACUUCAAACAACCCGCCAAAACCCAUAUGGCGGAUUCCGACGACACAGAAACCUCCGUCCUCUCUGAAUCCACCAUUUGUUUGCUCAUAGAUCGCUUUGCUCCUUUAUGAUUAUGCUUUCUUUCAAUAAUUCCUCUUCCUCUCUUUUAAGUUUUACUCUGUAUAUUGCUGAAUAUAUAUCUAAUAUAAUUGUAAAGGAAAUAGUAAUCUAGUUUUGUCCACUGCCACCUUGUACGCCUGCCGGCCCAUACUGCUUGUGAUGCUCUGUUUCUACAAUUCCUCUUUCCUAUGUUUUCCUUUGUAAUUCUAUGUUGAAUAUAUCUUAGGGUAUGAUCUGUAUUUUUCUCACCGCCGUUGCCAGAUUGGAGAGAUGAGGAGUCCGGUGGGUGGUAGCGGCGGUGGUGGUGGUGGCCGGUUUGGAGACUUUAUGGCUUUCUCCUUUUCAAUUAUGCCUUGCAGAAUUUCUGUAUAUAUUUCUUUAAUCAUUUUUUUCUAAUUAAUAAGAUUUUGCUCUUCCUUUUUGUUGUUUGAAGUAUUAAUAUAAUAAAAUUUACCAUAAUUGAAGUUAUCAAAUUUAAUUUUUAAAUUAUGGCAUAUUAGUGUAAAUCCAUUUUUAUAGUUGUAAUUAAUGAGUGUAAUUUGAAUGUAGAAUAAGAAAAAGAAGAGCAAGAUCCAUUUUGUCAAGUUAUUAAUUCUUUUCUUUAUCUUAUCUUUUCGUGAUUUCUCCGUCUCGACUUCUAGAAUUUCUUUCUUUUUUCAUUUCUUAAAAUUCUCAUCGAAUCGAUUCAAUAAUGUUUGACAUUUCUCAUAUAUUUUCUCUUUCAGAUUUAAAUGAUCGUAUACCAACUUUUAAAUGAUAUUGGUUCAAGAUCGUAUACAAAAUAUAAAAGAUCUUGGCACAUAAUUGUAAAUCAAUAUCGUUUAGAUUUUAUACACGAUCGUUUAGCUCUUGGUACUUGAUUGUAUAUCAAUAUCUAAACGAUCUCGUUUCACGAUCGUUUAGAAGAAGAAUUUCACACGUGGGUAUUACUUAUUAAUCGCAUGUUGGUUGGAUAAUUUGGUAUUUUCCUUUGCAGAUUUUUUCCGUUUUUCAAAAGUAUUUUAUACCGUGUAAGUAUAUUGCUCGCUUAUUAUAUUUUUGAAAACCUUCCAGAUUAAUUUACUGUUAUCAAACACAAACACGGUCUAAAAAAGUUAAAUUUUUUAAGUUUGUGUUUAUAACUUAUUUGUAUUUUGUAUUUAGCAUUUCUACAUCUAAAUUUAGGAAGAUAUUAAUGACAUCUCUCCAGUCUAAUUUAGUUUUUCUAUCUCAUAAUUAAUUUAAACUCAUUUCAUACAUCACUAAAACCGCAUGCAUAACCAAAUACUAUUUCUAAUUCUACUAUUUGCAUGACGACAUGCCUCGUCAACCUACGUUUAAUCAAUUCAAAAAAAUUUAAAACUAGUAUCAAUUACCAAUUUUUUUCUAUUUUUAUUUAAAAAAUUUGUUCUCUAGUAGAUAUAUUAGUUUUCAAAAACUACUUAACAAAAUAAUUUUGGAUUUUAAUAGCAUGUUUAACACCCUCGUUUUUUAGCCAUUGUUUCAAAAACACUAUAAAUACGUUCUCAUCAAACAUUUUUAGACUCACCUUUCUCAACCGCGUUAAUCGCUUAGAAGCAAAACUAGUGACAUCUAACAAGCAUGGAAAAUCAAAAACCUUUUACAGUCUCCAUUGUUGUGAUGGUGAUAUUCGCAUGUUUUGUUUUAUCAAGUAUGCUCUUAUUAUCUCAUAACCCCUUCUUAUCUCAUAAUGGUAUGUUCUUUUGCGUGAAAAAAAAAAAUAUUAACAAUUAAUAUUGAUGUUUUAUCACAUGUGGCAGCAAAAGGAGACAUGUUGUUGAAUUGUAUCGGGCCUUGUUCAAACCCAGAUGAUAAUGUUUCGUGUAACAACGAUUGUCUCAAACAAACUUAAAAACAGUGGAUUUUGCUAUCCCAAGUUAGAUGGUUCUUCAAACGAAAAAGAUUGUUGUUGCUAUAUCUGAUGAUGAAACCCAAAAAAAAAAAAAAGUUGUAUAACCUUGAUUUGAAAUGGUUAAACAAAGUCAUAUUGAUAGAAAUUCAUGUUUAUUUAUUCAUCUUUCGUACUCUUUUGUCCUUAUAAACAUUAAUUAUUUUACCUCUUUGAGAUAGUUGCAAAUGUUGCAAUUAAAAUUAAAUAUUAGCAUACAUAACAACAUUUUAAAAAAAUUUGCGAAUGUAACAAAAUUUGUCAAAGUCUAAAAGCGAUAGAAUAAAUUUAUCACCGAUAGAUUUUGCUAUAUUUGCAAGUUUUUUAAAAAUGUCUCUAAAUGCUUAAUUGUUAUUGCUAAAAUUACUACCUAUUAUAAUUACCCAAUAAAUUUUUAUUCAUUAUUGUUUAAAGAAAGAUGUUAUGCAUUUGUUUGAGAAUGUGCAAUAAUGUUGUUAUGAAUAAUACUAACGGUCGUGCAACGAUAUUUGUAAUAAGAUGUAGAACAUCGUUUUUGAAAUAAUAAUUGAGCGAUCUUUUAUGCUAAUAUAAUAAAAUGAUGUCAAUAAAAUAUUGCAUUAUUACUAAAGACAUGUGAGCAAAGUAGCACAAUUUUUAAAAACAAAACCCAUUCAAAAUCAAAUGGCUAUCCAACAAUGCAUUAAUACCCUAAAUUUAAAAUUUUCGAACAUUACUAAAGUGAAUAUAAGUUAAUUCUUUAGCUCUACACUAUACUCUAUAAGAAGAUCAAGAAUUUACAAGCACUUGAAUUGUGCUACACUAUUUUAUUCUAUAGGAAAUAACCAAUGAAAUAUAAAAUGCAUUUUUCAAAUAUUUGAUUAGCUAUGUGAAGCUGCUUGCAUCAACACUAGUACAUGAAAUUUCAGUAAUGCUGAUGUUAGGUUUGUCAACUUGCCAUUUGAUUAUUUCCCUUGCAUAUCUCAAAGCAGCAUUCACAUUUUCGGGCUCCAUCCCUGUUGUUUGUGAAACAAACAACUUUUUAUCUGUCAAAGAACAAAACAGUCUCUUGAAUUUCACUGCUAUGUACUGAAACGCUCGUUGUGCCAAUGUCGGGUUCGUGCUGCUGCUACUUCUUCCAGUGAUCAUUGGAUUGAAGUCAACAAACCACUCACAUUGAGCAAGAGGAGCGUGGAUGAUCUUUUCUUCGAAGAGAUCAAACUUGUUCAGUAUGAGAAGGAAGUUCUUUCCUCUUGAGGCUUGAUGUGUCACAAUGCUUUCAAACAGUUGCUUGCUUGCGAUCAUUCGGUUCGUUAGAACUCCGUUAUCAUCCUCGUCAAAUUCAUCGUAGUCUGUUAAAUCCACACAAAAUAAAAUUAUUUUUGUGUCGUCAAACAUCUCCAACAAUUUGCAGUUUUCUCCUAGGGUACUGGAAUGGACUCGAAUCAGCUGGUACCUAAAAGAGGAAGGAAUCGGGUUUUUUUAGCUGAUGAUAACUUUAUGCGACUGUAUGCAAAAAUCUAUGCAAAAAGCAACCUUAUUGACAGAUCGUGCUGAUAAGGAGGGUCGAGAAGGGAGUCUUGUCGUGACUCAGGGAACGUGAACUCCAUGCUACUGAGGCUGUUGCACGAGGUGAUUCCCUCAGCGUACAAGAUAUCAUUGUCAGAAGGGUCAUACUCUAUGCUUGAAAUGUCAAUUGCCUGCGUUGAUAAAGAAAUUUACUUUGGUAAAGAUGAUGAUCCUGAAUCAUGAUCAAUAGUCCACUAUUCAAAAGCAAGACACCAAUCAGGGGAAAACUAAUGAAAUUUGACAAACAACUUGAAUUACAUCAAGGUGAACCCACCCAUUACAGGAAAAAGAAAACUUAAAUCAUUGGAAAAAAAAUGUCACCUUUUAAUGUUACUGCAUAAUGGUUUUGAAUUCUAAGCUAAAAGUCGAGCAUGCUAUUUCAACGUUCUUCAAUAACUAGGAAGAAACCUCCAUGUCUACAAGCAUCCGUAUAGCGAAAGGUCAGAGGCAUUGGUGUUUUUAUGUCGGUAACCAAAUGAUCAAAAGGGUUAACAUAUUUUAUGGUUAAAAAAAACGUUCCAAUAGAGUCUAUAGUUCAAAUGAUUUUUACAAGCCCUAAAACUUUCAGUGUCCAAUUUAUGAUCUGGAAAAAUGCUCCUUUUGUCACCAAAUUUUGAAUCUAGUUUUUAUAUGGUUCCUCAAUUUCAAAUGUUACACCUCACCUAUGAGUUCAGAAUUCAAUUUCUAUGUGUCCCUACAUAAAUCCUAGUUUCCAUAUGAUCCCUAGGUUCCUAGAUUUCAAAAUGUUGCACUUCUGCCCUUGAGUUCUAAAUUUAGUCUCAUUCGGUCUCAGGUCAAUAUUUCAUACUUUUACCCUCCAAUUUUCGUUAAUGCUCAAAUUUGAUCUUCAGUCUUGAAUUUUAACAUUCCGUUAAUUAACUUAAAAUAAUUAUGAUGUAAAUUUUUUUAAUUAAUUUUGAUACUAUGAAAACUUAGUGAAAUUUAAUUUGAAUUAAUUUUUUGGUUUAGAGAAUACAAUCAACAUGUCACUAAGAUAGAGACCAAUUAGAUACAAAAUCAAAAGCCCAUACACCUAGUGAAUACUUCUCAACACUAUGAAUUAUACUGGUUUAUAAUGGUAUUAGAAACUUUUUAGAGUAAAAAUGUCUAAUGGACCCAUCUCAGAAACAACUAAGUUUAAUGACUAAACAUCCUACCUUUAACAAAGAAAGGUAUAAGAAAAAUUGCAAGAGAUUAUUUCUAAGGUGGAAUUCAACAGUAAUGACCCAGAACGUAAACUCACCCGAUCAAGGAAAUAAGUAGCAACUCGUGGGAGCAUUUCUAGUUCGUUCCUUCUACUGUACGUGGCUUGGAAGGCUUCAUCCUUCAACAACUCUUCCACUAAUUGACCAUACACACGUGUAGCAGCCGGGAAUAUGGUGUCAAAGUUCCCUGACACCACGACUUGAAGAAGCAAAUCUGCAAAUCCUUUCAGUUUAGGGCCAAGGGAAUAGAUGUCCUUACGCUCCAACUGAUUUUCAUUCCCUGUAACCACUGAAUAAUGUCAUUUGCUUUGCUCAUUGAACAUCAGAAUAAUAUAGUCAGGAUGAUAUGGUAAUUUAUCUACUGAAAUCUGUCGAAAUAUUUAAUACAAAUGAUCGACUAUCAGGGAAAAGUGAAAAUCAUCUGAAAAUGGAAUUACAACAGACCUGAUGCUGAUGAGCUGGACGGAUCAUUCACUGGUUGUUUAUUUUUCUCAUCCAUCAAAAUCUCUUCUUCGAAACGCUCUCGUCCUUCCAGUAGUAUAGUAAGAUACCAAUACAAGUUCCUUUGAAUCAGUAACUUAAUUGUUUGACGCUCGUCAUCAGAGAAAGGAACUUUAUAUAUUUGUUUGGCCUAAAAUGAAGAAAUGACUACUGGUCAGGAAGUAUAUAGGAUAAGCAUUUCUAUAUCAACAUUAUUCGUUGUACACUAAGGAUGGGAGGUGAAGAAUUGGGUAAAAAUAAGUUCAAAUAAACAUGAGAGACAUAAAGAAGUGGUAUGUAAUGAAUCCCAAGUACAACCAAGAAGGGACCUAACACUCUUAGCACAAUAAUGGUUAAGGGCUUGUCUUUUAUGAAGCAGGCGGCAGGCCCCACUGCAAUGUGCGUUGAGGCUUGAAAUAAAAACCUUUUGGUUUCAAUAUUUGAUUAGGUUGACAAGAGUGUGAAUAUGUGAAGAGGACAGCAGAAAGAAAUCAUAUAUUGGUGACAUAUAUGAACUUUACUAUGAAUUAAAAGCCUUUUCUGCAAGCCAUCUGCUUUCUUGACACAAGACUUUCAGGCAAAUCAAUGAACUUUAUUAUGAAUCGAAAUAUUUAUCAAAACAAUGAUCAAACAAGAACUAAAAUUAAGAUUAACAUCAUAAAUAGUAAGAAUUUUAACACGAUCAUAGGUAGAAGUUUUAAGAAGCAUAAAAUGUAGUACUAUAACUGAAAUUACCUGCUUGAAUAUGGUACUCGUGCCAGAUUUUUUGUGGCCAACAAGGAGAAGUUUAUGAAGUACUUUCUGCUCGUAAGAAACAGAUUUAGCUCCGUCCUCUAUUUCCUCUCCAGUACGAACAGAAUUAGAAGGAAUAGGCAAAGAAUAAAGGGCACAUGCAAGCCUCGUUCUAGUCUGCAGAGAUAGGUGAAUUAGUUGUUCUUGCAAAUUUGAUGUAUAUAAGAUAGAGCAGGAAAAACCAAACUGAACAUCAUCGCAUAAGGUUUACCUUGUCCCAUAUUUUUCCCCCAUUGUUCAUUCCUUCUUCCUGGUAUGAUCCAUCUGCACUAACCCAAAAAGAAGGUCUUCCUUCACAAGGCACUCCAGCCAGCUGCAAGCAACAUGAUCUCAUUUGUGUUAUUUGCGCAUACUUUUAUAUUUCAAUAAAGCUAAACUAAAUACGAACACUGGGUAAAAGAAAACCUUCAGUAUCCGGAGCUCGUUUUUAGUGAUCUCUCGAUUAUUGAUGCACACAUUCGUAUUGCCAUUGCUAGCAUUCCUCUUGAUCCGACCUCCAACUUCUAGCUGGGAGCUAACUAUCUGACUCGGUCCAUGUCCUUCCUGUUCAGUUAAAAACAGAUCAAAAAGUUUCUCAUGGUGCAAAUCGCUUCUUCUACAUGCUCAAAAGAUAAAAUAAUAUCAAUCAAUCAAAGAGAGAGGACCUUUCCCCAGAAGCCUGAUUCUUUGUCAUACCAAUAUUGUCCUGGUUUUAGAUUCUUUGGUGGCUUUCGACAACUUCGCAACGUAAGCAGUUCCUGUCGACUUAAAGGAUCGCCAUUGACGUAGAUAAGUCUUGCUGGUAGUUGGUUUAUUUCACACUCUUUCUCAUGCAACAUUGCGCUCUUAAUUUCAUAGUCAGAAAGCAACCUCUUGAGCACUUUAGAGCUUUUACCCAAGUUCUCCCUUCUUGAUUCAUCAAUCCUAUACCCAAUGCAAGAGAUACACUUCCUUCCUUCUGGCAUUGCUCCCAUUGCUCUGAUUAUACAAUCAAAGCAAUAUUUGGCUCCACAAACAAUGCAUACUUCCUUUUCAGUGAAACGGUUUCCUUUAAGGCAGAAGUAGCAUGAUCCUUUUUUUCCCUUCCUUUCAGCUCGAGGCAUCUCUUGAAUGCUUUCACCCUCAAAUUGACUUGACUCAGCCUCUUCAGAAAUCGUGUUGCUCGUAUGGGGAUCAAGAAAGGUAACAGCUGAUGGCCUUCUGCCAUGCCUACGCGUAGUUUCAUAGUCAACUUCCUCUUCCUCUCUUACAGCAAAAAUUCCAGAAGACGAACUCAAACCCGAUUCUACUGAUUCCGAGUCGCUGGAAUUCGUAUAGCCUUGAAAAUCCUCUUCAUUCUUAAUUUCCAAUGAUUCUACCCCUCCUAUUCUUCCUUUCAGCUCAUUGAAAUUCUCAAGUUCACCAGAACUUUCAACUCCAUCACACGAAUCGAUAUUACAUUUAUCUUCCUUAUUGGCAUGGAGGCAAACAACCCCAUCUUCCUGGAUUUCUGAAGUUGAAGAAAUUACAGAAUUAGGGCUGGAACUUGAACCCUUCUUUAGUUUCUUAACAAUGGGUUGUAUCACAGGCAGAGAUGAUAAAUCAUCACUGAAUUGAGAUGAUGAAAGAACCACAGAAGCCGUUGGAAUAUAAUCAACAUUUAUAGGAACUGCACGAGGAAUCUCGUAACUAAUUCCAGGACCUUUAUACUCCAUGGCAAAAGAAUAUUCACCAGUAAAAUCCACAUGAUUAACAGGAGAAGAAGGCUUCUCGUGAAAAAGUUUUUUAAGAAUCCCAGCCAUAACUCAACAAUUCAACAACACAAAUUUUAACACAACAAAUCUAACGAUUUAAACAAUUACAACCCAACCCCAUCAAGCAUAACCAAUCAAACAAGCCCACAAAACAGAGAAACAAAAGAUCGAUCAAUCAUCAAAUCCAAAUGAUCGAAGAGAAAAAAGCUCCCAGUGGAGGAAAAUAUCGAAAGAAGAAGUUACAAUUGUGAAUUAGUAGGAACCCAUGUUCAAGAAAGUCGAAUCAGAAGACUUUUUGACAGUGGGGUUCAAGGAAAACGAGUGUGCUGUUAAAGAUAAUAAUAAAAAAAAAAAAUGGUGGGAAUGGAAAUGCUAUACUCAGUCAACACAAAGACUAGAGAGAAGACUUUGGAUUAGUAGAAAAAUGGGUUCAAUGGUGGAAAAGAACGCGUUCAAGUAAGAAGAAAACUGACAAGAAAGGGACAUAAAAGAGGAAAUUUAAGAGAGAAAGUGGAAAAGAAGGUAGGUGUUGGUCAUUAUUAUAAUCAAUUACAUUACAAUACGUCAAAUUAGAAAAGCAGAGAAAUUACCAGUCCCUUCCUUCCUUCCUUCCUUCCUUCCUUCCUUACUUCAUUCCACGUUUUUGCUUCCGAUUUGUCUAAGAUGAACUCAAAAUUGAAAGGCAAUUAAGAACAGUCUGCCACUGAGAGAAGGAAAUAUUGCUUUGAAUUUAUUUGUCGUGCCUAACACGAGAGCGGAUGUGUGAGAAAUUUUACCGUAUUCUCCAUAGCUUUAACAAGAAAUCUGUUGUACUGUUGUAACUUUGAGAGAAUUUCUUACAUUUCUUGUUCUUGGUUCUGCAAAGGGUUCCAUGAUUAUUGAAUUCAGUACAUUAUAAUUAAUAUGCAAAGUUUUUAAGACUGAAACAUUACUUUUUUUCUUUUAUAUUUUUAUUAUUUUAUUACAACUCAAUAAAUUUAUAUAUAUAGCAAAACUUCUACCUUUUAUUUUCAUUUUCAUUUCAACUCUUUUUAUUUAUUUUUAACUAUGCUAAAAUCCAAAUAUGGAAACCAUAAAAUAUAAUAUAUAAAUAAAUUAGAUAUGUAAGAAAAUUCAAAUUUCUCUACCUCCUCUCAAUUUCAUUGAUUUAUAUAUGUGUCUCACGAAUCUACUAAAUGUCACUAUUUAUACACAAUUUGGUAGGCAUGAACUAGAUUACAUGACAAUGUGAGUAUCAUCUAGACUUUUGUUAAUGGUGUUGAAUGAUUAAGAAAUUGACAUGUGGUGGACAUCUAUUUAUUUAGUAUUUAUAAUAUUUUUUUUUUCAUUUGUACGACCUUAUAGAAUUAAAUACUUUUUCUUAUUUUAUAUGUUGGAUAUUGAAACUACAUUUCAAACUUAAAUUAAUAAUAAUAAAAAGUUUGAUUAAUUUUCUAAAUUUAUGUUAAAUAUUAAAUAUAUUUUGUUUGAUUUACAAAAUUGAAAAUUUAACAACUUUAGAGAUGCAAAAGGUAUUUGAAUCACUCAAAUAUAAAUUUAAAAUUUAUGACCUUACAUCUUCUUGAGAAGACUUCUAGUUCAUGUUUAUGUUUCAUAAUUAAAAUUAUAAAUUUAAAUUUGAUUCAUUCAAAUCUCUUUUAAAUUUCUAAAUUUGUUAAUUCCUGAAUUUUGUAAAAAACAAUGAUUUACAUAAACUUAGAAAAUUAAAUAAGCAUUUUAUUGUUAAUUGAGAUGUCUAAGGUAGUUCACUGUUAUACAAAUGAUGUACAAAAAAUUAUUUUACUCUUUUAAGAAUGAACUUAUAAAAAAGAAAUGAAAAUAAAAGAAAAACAUUUAUGUAUAUAUAAUUUUAUUAAAUCACAAUAAAAUAAUAAAAAAAAUGGUAGAACACUUAACAAAAUAUUAACCCUUCAUAAAAAAUUGUGUAAUAAUUUAUCAAAUAAAAUUUAUCUUUUUAAUGAUUUUGUGGAUGAAGUGUAAAUAGUUUGAUAAUGGUUUUGUUUUUGAAAAAGAUUCACUAACAAAAGUAUAAAACAAAAUUUAAUGGUUUUUAAUAAAUAAAUAAAAAAUCACUAUUUUUUUUUGCAAAUAGUUUCAUACAUUCGUUUUUUUUUUUUUUUUUGCAAAUGUUUUACAAAACGGCCCUAUUUUAAUACUAAACUCCAAUUCUUAAAAGAAUGCAAACAAAUUUUUUUUAGUUAUUUUAAAAUUUGUUUGAAUAAGAAACACAGGUAUAAACUAAUAAAAAAUUUAGUUACAUGUCCAUUUAACUACUAUUUCUUAAUAUAAUAAAAUAAAGAUAUAUUUUAAAAAUAGCAAAAUAAAUUAAAAUAUUUAUAAGCUAUAGCAAAAUUUUGAAUUCUAUCACUAUAGUCUUCAAUCACUGUAGAAAAUUAAUGACUAUCAGUGAUAGAAUUUGUUAUAGGUUGUAAAUAUUUUGUAAAAUCUUAUACUUUUAGAAAUUCCUCUAAAAUAAACCGAAAUAUUUAUAAAAUAUAACAAACUUUUAAAUUUUAUUAAGAAUAAAUACUUAUAACUUUUAUGGGUGUAUAACAGUUCACUAAUAGAAAUUGAUAGAAAUCUGUAUGUGCUAAUAAUAAAUAGAAUCUAAAAUUUUAUUAUAUUUUGUAAAUAUUUUCAGUAAUUUUAUCCUUUACAAUAAUUUUUUUCUAUUCAAUUUUUAAAUUGUAUAAAUAGCAAUUUUAGUCCAUAAAUUUCUCGACUUUAAUAGUAAAAUGAGAGGCAAAAUAUUCUCCCCUCUUACCUAUUUUAUAUAAAGUACAGAUUUAUAAUUAUCGAUGAACUGAUGAGCAAGAUAAUUUAAAGUAUAAAGUAAAUGCAAAAUAAAUAAACAAAUAUUUAUUUUUACAUCGCGAGCUUUAAAACUUGUUAGAGAAAUAUGGUAGUUUAGAGAAGUCAUAUGAACUUCUUCCGAAUUAAAAUUGAGGCAACGAGAUAAAGUUUAUGUCUCUACAAGAAACAUCUUUACAAACAUUCUAAUAGAUGUGUUGUCUGGGUGCAAUGGUUCUUAUCAUCGUUUAGUGUUUGAUUAAAAUUUUCCUUUUUUUCUUUUUAUAAAUAAGGUGAAAUAAAAAUGAUUCUAAGAAAUAGAGUAGAUAACUGUGGACAUAGCACGUUCUUGAGUUAAUAAAGAAAUUGUUUAUGUAAUACAUGAUUAGGGCCCAAAUUGUGUUUUGCACAUACUAGUACCAAAUGAAUGUCAGUUGCAUGUACGCUCCAUACCAUGUGUACUACAUGUAAGUGAUUAGAGCUUAAAUUGUGUAAGAUUAACAUGACAUGGGUCUAACCUAGACACGUGACAUGGGUCUAACCUAGACACGCAUACUGGCAAUUGUGUCAUAGAACUUGUGUACCAUAUACAUGAGUUCCAUAUGUGGCUUGUGUGCAUGGUAAUACUAUUUUGACAUAUGACUCAUGUAUCAUAUACACAAGUUCAUAGUUCUAAUCACCUCAAAAUAUAACUUAUAAAUAUUUUAAAAAAUACUGAAAUUUGUAUCACUUUCACGUGAGAAAUUGUAAAUUUGACUCACGGAUGACAAUAGAUUGAACAAAUUCACCCAAAUUGAAUUUGAUUUCUCGUGAUCACAAAUAAGUGAAGAAUUACUUGUUUUGAAUAUCCUAUUUUUUCCUGAUUUGAUUUUCUUCCAAAUAAAUAUUUGACUUAAGAUUUAGGGGUAAGUAUGAUAAUAGUCUUCUCUAUCACACCUAAUUUCUUUGUAUGUUUUACAAAGGGAAAAAAGGGUGAGUAUUGCAUGUUCUCAAAUUUGAUUCACAAACAUCAUAAAAGCAUGGUGAAUAUGAGAUUGGUAAUUAAAGGCAUUAAUUACCAUUUUUAGAGGAUGAUGAUAUUUUAUCUCUACAUUUACCAUUCUUCAGCUCAAAAGAAAUUUUAAACGCAUAGUACCAAUUUUAAAUUCACCAUUUAUAAUCAUAAAAGUCAAAUUAACCCAUUUUGGAUGGGAAAAAUAAAGUCUAAGAAAGUUUGAGUAAAAUUCCUCAAAACAAAAAAAACAAAAAAAAAGUUUAGUAAAAUAUGUUAAAGAAAAUAAUAAAAUAAGCAGUAAAAAAUAUAACACUAGUAACUAAAAAAUAGUUUAAAAAAAUAUGGAAAGAUAGAGUUCGGUACUAAAGUUAAGUGUAUAACGACAUAUAUUAUAAACGAUUAAGUAGGAAUUGACAAAAUUUUGUUACACUUGUAAAUUCUACAAAUACUUUAGAUUUGAUUGUUAUAUUUGUAUUGUUUACAAACUAGAGAAAUUGAAAUACAAAUAUUUUUUUAUUUAAUCUCUAUAACCCAUAUUUGGAAUGAUUUUAAAAUCUUCAAAAUCAUUUUUGGUUAUUCUUAAAAUCUAUUUAAAAUAUGUUUUUAAUUAUUUAAAAUUAAUUUAUUAUCAAAUUUCACAUUUUUAAAUAUAUUUUUUACAUACUAAAAUUAGUUUAGAAGAAUUAAAAAUAUAGUCCUAAAUAAUUUUAACUAUUUUAGGAUGAAUCUCAAAUGUGUUAAAAAGAAAAUAUUUUUUUCCAAAUACUAAUUAAUUUGGUUCGAAAAUUUUUAAAAAUAGUCAAGUAAAUUAAAAUAUUUAUAAGUUAUAGCAAAAAUUUUAAUUUUAUCAAUAAUAAAAAUUGAUAGACUUCUAUCACUGUUUGUCAAUGCCACCCAACGAUGGAAGCAUAUCAGUGUCUAUCAUCAAUGUUUACUAUCGAUAGAAUCUAAAAUUUUGCUAUAUGUUAUUAAUAUUUUGUCAAACCUGUUAUUUUUGACAAUUUUCCUUUAUUUUAAAAAACGAAGAAUAACGCAUCCACUAAUGACAACUUAUAACAAGGGGUGCUUGCAAAAAUAGCAAAAAAAAAAAAUUAUGAUAGUAGAGUUCAUGUCACUACAUUUUCUAAAUUGUAAAAGUAGCAAAUUUAAUAAAGUCAAUAACUCUUUGAUAACACUCCUAUAGUCUUUCGCAAUAAUAGUUUGAUAUCAUUAAUUACUUGUCAUAUUCACAAUAUGCAAAAAGAUGUGUCAUUAGCUAUUUUCUCUAAAUAUUUUUUUUUUUUGUCAAUUUUCCUUAUAUAUAUUCACAUUACCUUCAAUGUCAUGAGCGCUCUUAGGUCGGUAGAGGUAUAGUUUUGAAAAUGGUCAUUCCUUUGUUAAUUCUCAAACCAUUAAUUAUAUAUACUUUUAGGAAUUGAAAGAAUUAUUUCAUUUUAAAAACCCAAGCAACCAUCGUCCUUAAUCAAAAGAAUUAACAAUCUUAGAACCUUUUGUUUUGUUUUUUCUUGAGUGAAGUGUGACGUAAUUUUAAUUGGACUAGUUAAUGAGGAUCUUUUUACUAAACAAGAAAAAAAAUGGUACACUUCAAAUUGUCAAAAUCUUUGUCUAAAAUGGAAGAAAAUAAACCCAAAAAAAAGUUAGAAUUCCUCAAGAUUUGCAUAACUACUUGGUCAAAUUAGGUUAGGGGAGAACAAGUAUUUGACAAUUAAAGAAAUUUAAAAUAUAAGAGCAAUAGUUUGUGAAUCAAUUUUCCCAUUUUUCUCUAACUAAUGAGUGAAUUACAAAUAAAGUCAUUGUCAUGUUGAGAUAUGAAUAACUUCCCUUGUAAGUUAAAAGUUUAAAAAUGAUGUCCCUUAAAUAAUUCAUUUCUCAAAAAAAUUAAUUAUUUCAAAUAAUCACCUCAAAAUCAAUAAUAUCAUAUAUAUAUAUAUAUAUAUAUAUAUAUAUAUAUAUAUAUAUAUAUAUAUAUAUAUAUAUAUAUAUAUAUAUAUUAAUAAAAAAAUCAAACACCCUAACGUAUGGAUAUAAUAAGGCGUUAAUUGAUAUGAUCUCUUUUGAGUAUAACUUCAUGGCUUUAUUUUUUGUUUCACUCAAAUGGCAUCAUACCGUUAAAGAUAGUUGUCUACUUACUUAUAUCUCAUUCUUGUUGGGAAAACAGACAUCAUAAGAUCUCAAUAAUUAUAGGAUAUUGUCCACUUUAGCCUCGUGAUUUUAUUAUUUUUCUUUUUGUGUCAACUAAAAGCCAAAUACAGUUAAAGAUAGUUGUUUCCUCAUUUAUAUAUCAUUCUUUAAUGAUCAUCCAAAUAUCUUUACAGGUUUAAUAUAAUAAGGCCAAUAUAGGAUUUUGGGUCAUAGUCCUACAAUUCUCUCCUUGAAUAAAAGGACCAUCAAAAGUCUUCCCUCAAAUAAUCAUCCAUAUGUGUUUACUUCCAAGUAAUCACCUUUAAUUAGGUCAAUUUCUUUUCAUCGGAGUUCAUUCCCUAUGUCAUCAAAUCACAUCAACAUGAUUAAGUGUGAGGGGCAUGAUACUGAUACUAAUUUCUAAGAAGAACGAACCCUCCAACGAGACCUGUAUUUGAAUAGAAGGGUCAUUUUGGAAAAAUAAGAAGCUAAGUAAAGGAUUUUGAAAAAUGAAGGUUUUGAGAAUUUAGGCGUUUUAAUGACUUGGCGUUGAGUGAAAGCAACGUGAGGUGAAGGAAAAGACGGCCAAGAUUAACUGAGUAGUUUGAGGUUCAACACAAGUUGAAGUUAGGCGUUGAGAGUUAGGAAUUUGUUGGGAAAUUUCCUAAUCGUACUUAAUGGGUCACGUGUAAGGGCUUAAGCUAAGGAUGGUUUGAAAAAUUAUUAGACUUACACGUGUAUUACUUUAAGUAGGAGCUGACAAGCUUAAGGAAAAUUAAGGAUGAUUAACCCAAUUUAGGAUUAGUAUAUAAACAGAAAUGAAGAGUUAGUAGAACAGAAGAUUAUGCUUAAAUUCUUAAGGUUGUCGUUAAAAGGAAGACUCACUAUGCGAGAAGAAGGCCAUUUGGGGAACUAGGCAUUCUAAACAAAAGAAAAGCGUGUUGUGAGUGAUUUUCCAAAAAUGUUUAAAUAUUUAAAGCUUUCUACUAAAUUUCCUUAUUGAUUUGUAAUAACAUUCAUAUGAUAAUGUUUACAAAGAAUGAUUUCGAAAGAAAGUUUGUGUUAUGUUUAAAUGAUUGUAUUGUAUGUUAUAUAUGUCUGUAAAAAUUUAGUCUUAUUUCUCUCAAUGAAGCUAACUAUUAUGUACACAUAAGGAGUAAAGGAACCUAUGUAGAAAAUAACUGUAUGUGGAGUGAAAUUGACCAAUGCGUAAAAAGAGUGUAUUGAUCAGCUUGGUGACCUGAGCAACGAGAACUUGAACCAAGAAAAUUUCUAAGGAAUGUUGAUGAUGAAAAGGACGUUACCGUAGUCUAUGUGUGGGAACGGUUCAUGUUCUUGGAAGAAAGGAAUAUGAAAGGCUAGUGAGUGAUUUCUGUUUUAUGAAAAGAGACGAUGAAAACCAUAUUUAUGAAAAUGAUUUCACAUGUUGUCUGCAAAAGAAUUUUCAAAACUAUCACUCACUAAGCUUUGACUUAUGUUUUAAGUUUUUCAUCCCUAAGGUUUCAGACGUUAUGGCUAAGUGUGGAUAAGGAAGGUAAGUUGCUACACGAAGAAGCUAAGCAAGACGUUCUAAGUUUAUUUCAUAGAUUAUCUAUUUAAGAAAGUGUGUAAUAAGUGUAUUUUGAUCACACGCUUAUAAGUAAUAAAGUGAAGUUGUUUUUCUACACUGCGUUAUGAAUUUAUAUAUUUCUUUAUCGCCUAAUAUUUAAGUUUAAGUUCAAUUUAGUUGAGGUUAGGUUACUUGAAUUGCAUUGGGUGAGCAAGCUAAGUUCAACGACUUAAGUUGAGCAUUCUGACGUUUCAUAUACUUGAGGCGUCAUGCCUACUCAAGUCAGGUCGCAUUACGAAGUUAACAAUGGGUGUAGGGUAGGACGUGACACCAACAUAUUCAUAAUUGUAUGAUCGAUAAUAUUUGUUUUGGGUAUAAUCAUCACAAUUUUGGUUUUGAUUUCACCUAAAAGACAUUAUUUCAUUGAAGAUAAUUGUCCUUACUCAUACAACAUAAAUCCUCCCUAUAUCUAGCCAAUGUGAAAAUUUGUUUCGCACUCUAACACCAACAAUGAGACUAAGACCCACACAUUAUACCCAAAAGGCUAAGUCAUCUACAACCAUAUUUUGAAAUGAGUCAUAUGUAAUAAAAUUGAAUAUCCAACAAUGAACCAUGAACAAAAUACCUUUUAUUUCUAAUUUCACAUAGAACUAACAAAAUAGCUCUUGUUAACAACUGGACAACUAUCACGUUGCUCAACUCCACCAUAGUUGUAACAUCAACCUAACAUCUAUAUAUGUGAAAAACACACAUUAUUAACCUGAAGAAUUAAGUUUUCACCAAAGUUAUAGACAAUGUAAACAGUGCAAGCAACACUACAAGAAAAAUGUAAAACACGACUAAGUUGGUAACCCGGUUUAGUGCAAUCACACCUAUAUCUGAGGAGCCUUGAGUCCAAUCGAAAAGACCAUUUAUUGAAAUUCAAAAAAGCUCACAAAUAUAUAGCUUAUCAAGAAUUAUUGUCUUGAUAUACAUAACUUUGACAAGAUCAAAGUACAGACUACCUCUAGACCACCUAAAGCAUGAAUAAGAGCUUUAAUCUAUGCUCCCUUAGAUCAAGUACUCCACGCUUUACCCUUUUGACUUUAUUGCCCAGGCUCUCCUUGGGAGAGACACCUCAUAAUUCACUUAUAAUGUUAGGCUUCCCCUGACGUUUUAAAUCUUUUCAAUCUAGUGUAUUAUAAAGUCGUUAGUAAGGUGUUCAACACCACACACGAGAAUUUCUCAUAAGGAACUCAACGUCAACCUAAAACACCACUUGAAAUAAACAUCAUUGACUCAUGUUUUCCGCCUAUAUAAAACACCACAGUUCACAAGCUCUUGUUUAGAUCAAAGACCAAGAAAAUAACGAAAUCACUUGAAAACUUGAACAUGAAAUUAUACUAAUUUGAAUCCUAGUUAUAAGAAGAUCUUUAUAUUAAUCAAAGAUUCAAACUCUAAUAAUCUUUCCAAAUUUGAAUUUGAUGUCCAAUUGAUCCACAAAGUUUGAGAAAGAAAAGAAGAAAGAGUAUAAUCACUCUAAUAUCUAAAGUUUAGAAAAUAAUUUCAAAUAUUCGUUAAGUUGUUAGUUCAAAGAUGAUUUUGUCAAUAAAAUUUGGUGAGGUAUAUAGGUGUAAUGUAUUUAAUUAUUUUAUAAUAGACUUUAUGAAUUAUAAUUUAACACGUAUGUUAUUUAUAAUAUAUAUAUUUGAUUACAAGUCAUUAGAAAUUAGAAGGUGGAGAAAGCAAUUUCAUUUUUUCAAGUCAUCUUUUUAGUUCUUAUUAAUUAGAAAUUAAAAGAGUAUAUAUAAUAAUAAAUAAAUAAGGACAGCUUUCAAUAUUAAAAAAAAAUGAAUAAAUAAAUAAAAGAAAAGUCGAGAAUGCCACGUGGCUGAAGAAAAGGCAAUAAAAGAAUGUGGGGCCAUCAAUUAUAAGGUCCACGUGGUAUCGUUAAUUUGAUCCAAUCCAUUUCUUUAUUUAUAUAUUUAACAGAAAAAUCCUAUCUGUCUUUCAGUACGCUGCUUCGAAUAUUUCGCUCUUCUUCUUCUUCUUCUUCUUCUUCUUCUUCUUCGUCGGAGAUGGUGAAACCCAACCACUUGAAAAUGGUGACGGAUUCUGACGCUGCCGAUCUCAUUUCCUCUGAUCUCCGGGAACUCGGUAACGCUGCUAGAAAGCUUGCUACACACGCUGUUAAGCUCGGUGCUUCGGGUUUUACUGCUUCUUUUCUCCAAUGGAUUGCUUCCUUUGCUGCUAUGUAUGUUCCCCCCCUCUCUCUCUCUUUUCUGUUUGUUUGAUUUCUGAAUUUUUUUUAUGUUGUUUGUUUGUGGUUCUUCGCUGCUGAUCGGUUAUUUUAGUAGUUUUUUUUUUGCUGUGAGAAAGCUAAUUGGUGAUUUUGAUUCGAGGAAUUGAGUGUUUUUCAAUUGAUUUCUACUUGAUUUUAGUAAUUUGUUUGUUGAUUUAUGUGAUGAAGUGGUUAAGGAGUAUGACUAUGAUUUAGUUAGGGAAAUGAUUCGUGUUACAUUAAGAUAUGUGCUUCUGAGUGUUCUUUUUCGUGUUCCUUAUAUUAAUCUACUUUUAGGUUUUCAUAGAUCGUCUUAAUUUCACUUCGAUUCUUUUUAACUGCAGUUACUUGUUGAUUUUGGAUCGGACGAACUGGAAGACGAAUAUCCUUACUUCAUUGUUGAUUCCGUACAUUUUCUUUAGUCUUCCCGGUGUGAUCUUCGGUUUUUUCAGGUGAUCAUCUCCACUCCAAGCAAUUGCCUUCAAUUGAAGCUUCUGGAUUUGCGUUUUUUUUUUUCUCUUUUUUUUUUUUUUGGCUAAAUUGCUCUCUCUUUGCAGGGGAGAGUUUGGAAAAUGGGUUGCCGUCAUUGCUGUUGUGCUCCGUCUCUUCUUCCCGCGACGAUUUCCAGGUACAUUAGCCUCGACUUGAUUAAUGAUUACACAUUUAUUGAAUUCAUUUUUGGUUAAUAAUAAGUACAGAUUGUGCUAGCUGAUAAGUAUGUUGAUAUAGAUUUAGAGCCAUUAGUCGUUCUGAUCUUCAUUUAGAGAUUUUUGGAUGACUACCGCAAUUACUAGUUUUGAACUUUUGCUUUCUUCCCUUUUAGAUUAACUUUCUAAUUUAUGAACUGCUUGCUUUUGUUUUCUAAUUUGUUCCUUUACUUUUUUAAAAGUAUUUUUUGAAAUCUUAACUAAAUUUGAAAAGAAAUUUUCAGUGGUUUUCUGAAAACUAUGAGUUGCUUAAUUUUAUUUCAGAAACUGUUUGGUAGGAUGAUGUUUAUUUUGUUUUGAAAAAGAUGUUCUUCCUUCCUAUCACACAUGUUCUUGAUUUUUAAACAAUAUGUAAACAGGGAAGCUGUUUUUGAACAUGAUUUUGAAAGACCCAUCUCAUCUAUUUUCAAACUCUUUAAGCAUUGAUGUAAACAAACAAUUCACAAACAAAAACCCAUUAUCAAACCUCUUUGACAUCUUUGAGGUUAUGAAGUUUGACAGGAAGAACUUUAUAGUAAUCAAAAGAUCCAAAACUUUAGUUCAAAUAUAGGAAGUACCUUUAGGCAUUUAGUAUAUCUUCAAAACUUAUUUUCACAUUUGUAUUCCCAGCCCCAAGAUAAUUUGAUUCACCAAAGUUAAAAGGAACAAAUUACAUGUCAAACCUCAUUCAUAAUUAUUCACACUCCAAUCUUACAAGUAAAAGGGAUAUACGUUAGAUUUCAUCUUUAGGAUAUAGAUUUGAGAUUCGAGUUUUGUUUCAAUUUGAUAAUUGACCCUAAUUUUUUAAUUUUCCAUCUUGAAUGUUAAUCUUCAUUAAUUAAUUUCAGAGAAAUGUAAUUAAUUAACACUCAUUAUUAAGUAAUUUAAAAAUGUAAAUAUUAGGGACCAAAUUGGAACUAAACUCAAAACUUAACUAAACUAAGUAAUUAUAAAACAUUACGAAACUCAAAACUUAACUAAACUAAGUAAUUAUAAAACAUUACGAAAUUAGGGACGAAAAUAGUUUUUUUACUUAAAAGUUCAAGUUAAUAAUAGUAAUUUCACAUCACAUAAUUAAGUUACAAUCUAUUAUCCUGUGGAAGUAUAAUUAUUGCAUUCCAUGCUCUGAUUGUGUGGUAAUACAGAUUGGCUUGAAUUGCCUGGAGCUUUGAUACUUCUCAUUGUGGUGGCUCCAAGUUUGUUUGCCAAGACCAUAAGAAACGAUCCCAUCGGAGAAGCAAUCUGUUUGAUCAUAUCAUGCUAUUUACUGCAAGAACACAUCAGAGCCUCUGGUGGAUUCAGAAACUCAUUCACAAAAGCGAAUGGCAUCUCGAACACCAUCGGCAUCAUCCUUCUCUUCGUUUUCCCUGUCUGGGCACUGGUACUCCGUGUUCUUUGAUUGGUUUUUUCUUUUAUUUUCAAAAUGCAAUUAUGCAUUAUUGAUCUUUGCAUUUGUUUGGGAAUGUGGGCUUGUGAGAAUUGUGUUUACCUUUUUUUCUCUUCAAAUUGGGUGUUUGAUUGUCUGAAUGUAGGGGCUGUAUCAGUGUAAAGUUAGAUGAGGAGUUUCUCUCACAAAAGAUUUGUGUAUCAUUUCUUUGAGGGACAAAAUGUGAGAUAAUAUAGAUGUUAUUGUGCUACAAACAGACUUUAUUGCAAAUUAAUAAUAAUAAAUAAUAAAUCUAAAAUUUAAUAAUUAUUAUUAUUAAAAUAUAAUUUGUGGAUUACACAGAUAAUGUAAACUAGAGCAAUGGUUUUACGGUUGUAGAGAUGUUGAAUUUGAAAUUUUGAAAUUUUGAUGUGUAAACAUAUAUCUUAUUAAAAAAGGGUAUAAUUAAAGUGCAGAUUUGGCCCAUCUAUUUAUUUUAUAUAUAAUCUCUCUAUUUAUCAUAUUGUAAAAGAAUAAUGAUUAAUUUUUUUAUAAUAAAAGCAUUGAUGAGUUAUAGCCAAAGUUUUUACCUUUCUUAUGAAAAGAAAUUUAUAUAAGCCUAUUAUUGUCACACCUUAAUAGAAAUGGAUAAAAGUCUAUUAAAAAAAUGUAUAAAACUCUAUUAAAAAAAGGUAAAACUUUUGAAUAAAAAUCUAUUAAAUAAAGGUAAAACUAAUCUUUUAAUAAAGUAGUCUAUAAAAUUGAUAGGAUGUAUCAUUAAUACUAUAAUGGAUAGAAUUAUUGAUUUCUAUUUUUUCUUUUUUAGUUUUAACAUUUUUCGGGUGGAUGAAUAUUUGUCUGAGGAAAAAAAAGAAGAAGAUAUUGAUAUAUAGAUUGAUUGAUAGAGAUGGGCUAAUUUAAGACCACUUGUCUUUGUUGGUGGAUAGCACUCAAGUCAAGGGAAUGUGCCUAUCUAUGUGCUUUAAUUGGGUUAUAGUUGCUACCAAAACAACUUUCUCAACCCAAACUUGAACAACUCUAAGUCACUAUCAAAGUCAAAGAGAAAUAUUCUUAGGAUGUAGUGUAGGAUAUUCGAUUGGAUCUAUGGAGUCCUCCACAUUUCACCCCACACUCAUUUGUGUAGAGGGUGAGGUCGUCUUUUUCUUCACUUCACUGUUCUUCACUAUUCAUUUCUACAAAAUUCUCUAUUUAAUUCUACACGAAAUUGUGGUGGAGAUUCCAUGAAUUGAAAUCUCCGUCAGAAUUUUUUUUCUCGUACUUAAAAAGAAAGUAAUUAACUUAAUAACAAUUAUUGAAAUGAUUGUUUUUAAAUGUAGCAAAAUAGACUAAUAUAUAUAUAAUAUACCAAAUAUUAGUGCCUUUCUAGCGAUAGACAAUUAUAGACAAUAUCGAUCAUUACUUAUCAUUGAUAUACAAUGACAUUUUGCUAUAUUAAAAAUUAUUUUCGGUAAUUUUGUCGUUUAAAAUAAUUAUCCUUACAGAGAAAUUUUAAUCAUAAAGAACUUUUAAAAGUUCACGAACUCAAUUAAUUGUUACUAGAAUGUCAUUGCAACUAGUCUAAUGCUUUAUGAGUAGUUUUACGAUUUCUCUCUUUUUUUAACGAGUUGCAAUUGACAAUUACAAGAAAGCACUAGUUUUGAGAAAUUAAUUUAAAAAAUGUCGAACAGUUUAAUCACCUUUAAACUUCCUAAGAUUUUUGUUACUGCUAUGUGUGUGUGAAAAGUUCAGAUUUAAAGUCACACUUUGACAACUCCAAUAGUAAGUAAUAAAGCUUAUUGUCUGCCAAAUAUAUGUGUUCUUCCACAAAAACAAACACAAAAAUUGACAAAAUCACCACCACUCACUAUUUGCAUCAUAAUAUUCUCUCUUAUUAGAAUUUCAAAAGAAGCUAUAAUAUAAAUUAAAGGAUGGCUUCUUCUAAUAUUUUGUACAACACUAUUUUAAUAUGUAAUAUUAGCUAUUGAAGUUUUCAUUUCUUUGCGUUCUUUGCCUCUUCAUAUAGUUCAUCGAUUUGCUCCUGUAAAUGAAAUGAAACAGAAUAAACUCUCACAUUGCACAUCACUACAUACACUGCCAUCAUACAAUGAGAUAUAUCAGAAGUUGUAUAUAGAUUUUGGACUGCAGUUCAAGGUGAGGUUAACUAUUGUUUGCGAACCCACUUUUUCAGUAGCAUUUUCGAUAAAGAAAAUGUUUUUCAAAGAAUUUUGUGGUGCUUCAUGUCAUAAGACAGGGGAGUAGAUCCACACACGAUCUUUCAUCCAAUCCAAUCCAACUUGAAUUUUAUUAUUAAUUGUUUCUUAUUAAAUUAAAAUAUUUAAAUUUAUAUUUAUAUAACACAGUCUCUAAGACCUCGUUUGGUGAACAUUGUGUUUUUUGUUUUGUUUUUUAAAAUUGAGUUUAUAAACACUACUUCUCCCUACAUUUUCUUUCUUUGCUAUCUACAUUCUACUUAUAAUUUUAAAAACUAAUCCAAAUCUUGAAAGUUAAAAAUAGUAACUUUCAAAAAGUUGUUUUUGGAAUUUGAAAUUUGACUAAGAAUUCAACCAUUGUAAUUAAGCAAAAUGCAAAAUAUUGUAGGACAUAUGAUAGAAAUAGACUUAAUUUUCAAAAGUAAAAAACGAAACAAAAUGAUUACCAAAUAAGACCUAAAUUUUCAUAAAAUAAACAAAUUUUAAACAUCAAAUAUCUCUAUUAUCUAUUACAAAUUUUAAACUAAAACAUCCAUGGAAGAAAAACAUUAAAAUUCCACGAAUUCUAACACUUUAACAAAAUAUGUUAUAUGUUUACUUUUUUUUUUUAGUAUAUAAGUAAUUCAGGUUAGGUUGGAGUUGGACCAACUCAACAAAAAAAUUGAUUAAAUCCAAGACCCAACCUAUUCCAACCAAAAUAAAAAGAAUUACGAAUGGGUUUGGAUAUUCUAAGGCUAAGAAGAAUGGACAUUUCAUAUUAGAGGUCGUAUGGUAUCGAACACUUGGGGGACAUGGAUUCAUCUAGAAAUGUUUGGACAUGUGUCUUAUACACAAAAUUCCGUGUUUUUUUAGAAAAAAAAUUAGACACGUCCAAACACACCCAAUUGUAGUUUUUAGCCAAGAAGGAUCGUUGCAGGGAAAAAGAGAAUUUUCAUAUGGAGGAAGGUUUUUGCUUCAAUAUAAUCGUGUUAGGAACUAAGGUAGUAUGGAAUGCUUUCUUCCCACGUUAAUUAGAAUGGGAUGACGAAUGUAGUAAUUAAGUGGCUUGGCUGGUGUGGUUCUCGAAGUACUUAAAAAUACCCACCAAAUCGCACAUACACGGGUGAAUUCUUCUUCAAUAAUUUAUUCCUAUCAAAUCACAGCCAAUUGGGAAGCAUGCACAUCCUUUUCUUACGUUGGGUGCGUAGAGAAAGAGAAGGGAAACCAAAAUGGAAUGCAAAAAAAUGUCUUUCAUGGUAUGGGUACCUUUUUGAAACACAGCCCUAAUGGCCAAAAAUAAACGUUAACAGGCAGUACACUGAGUUUAGCACUCAAAAAAUAAAGAAGCUCCCAGUAAAAGAGAACAGCAGAAAUGCUGAAGGAACGAAUUUGGAAGUGGGAAAAGUGUACCUUGUAGUAUUUAAGCAGUUGUGGUCUCUUCAACUUAAAUGUUGGAGUUAUCAAAUCCCUCUCCAUGUCAAAGGGAUAUGGUUCCAAAUGAAUUGCUUUUAAUAGCUCAAAUCCUCGAAGCUGCCAAAUAUUUUACCAGAUUAGAUAAAGAAGUAUCUGUAAACAAUAAGAUCCCAACCGAAGUUAAGUAUCUAAAAGAUACUUACAUGGUGCUUUUGACCAUUACUAUUGAGCUCAUCCAAAAUAUACUUCCUUGCUUUGAGGUUCUCACAUAAAGAUUUAAAGUCACCAGUCAUAUUAUGGUUUUGUGCCCAAUCCUCCAAGGCCUUUUGAUCGGGAACCGCCACACCCACAAGAAAUGACUCAAAACUGUUUCCAUAGACCCAAAUCUGUACACCACAGGAAUUGUUUUUUUGCCAUGAGUAAAGGAAAGAUAAAAAUUAAAAUUUUAAAAGUGCACGUACUUCCAAUAUAUAUGAGCAAAAGAAAUGUGACCAUUAGAGAAAGUAUCCAAAUAAAUAAAACUGUCAUCUAAUGUAUCUGAGUUAUGCAAGAAUCAAUUUCUCCUACCGAGGUAAUCAAAGAGCAUUGCAAGAAUAUGUUUUCAAUGUUCUCCACUGCAACAUACUCCCCCUGUGACAGCUUAAAUAUAUUCUUUUUCCGAUCAAUUAUUUUCAUCGAUCCAUCAGGCUGCCAUUCACCGAUGUCCCCUGUAAUGUGUAUACAUGUCAUUUUCUAGUAAAUAGCUAAUCGCAUUUAUAAAACAAAUGUUAAAAUGAUAAGAGUAAACCAUUGAAAUGUAUUUUAUAAUGGUGAAAACGUUAACCUUGAAAUAGGUAACAAGUUGCACACCUAGAGAAAAAUUUCUAGCCUUGCGACAUGAUUAAAUGUGAAUGACCUGGAUUUGCAUAGUGGCUACAUAUAAAAAGUAAACAAAACUUCAAAGGUUUGGGAUCAAAUGGACCGUCUCAAAUUAAGUAGAAAUUCUUUCGAAAGAUGCUAUACGGGAACAGAUGGAAUUAACCCAAAGGAGCUAUUCUGUUCUGGCAACCUUGUUAGUGGAUAGAGAGAGCUUAAAGGAGUUAAGCAAAGAAAGUUAAUAUUUUUGGUGUUCGCCAACCGAAACCUAGUGUUUCAUGUGUUCAUAAAUUCUAAAUUUUAUCAUUUUUCUAUUAUCUUCACUUUUUAAAAAAAGUUCAAAAAUGUUUAAACAAGCAUGAAGCACUACAAUCAGGUUGGCAGUUCAACAAUACUUUUCAAAACAAAUACCAAGCUUGCAUAAAUUUAAUUAAAACCCUCUCUCAAACAGAUGCAAGAUACUUGCAUUGAAGUGACAUAAUCAGUACGAAACACUUCUCUAAAAUAAAUGUGUUUAAACUGAACUUCCUGCUACAUUUGAAACUUAUUUGGCACCUUCAUUCAAUCAACCCAGUUAUGCUAAUUUUUUAUUUGAUGGUACAGAAAAUUGGAAGAAAUUAACUACUUUAAGGAUACAAUUUGCAUAGAUGAUUGCAAGAACAAAAUGGAUAUGAAAACGUAUAUGAAAAUGAGAGAAAUAGAGAAAAAGGAAAAAUUAUGUAGAGAAACUUCCUCCCUUUCGAUCCCAUCUAAUUAUAGUACAGAUUCUAGCAUGUAGUUUUACCUGUAUGAAACCAUCCGUCAAUAAGAACUUCGCCAGUUAGAUCUUGCCGUUUAUGGUAUCCAGAGAACAAGGUACUUCCCCUUAAGCAAAUCUCUCCACGGGGUGUGGUGGCCAGUGCAUCAUACCCCAUAUCAGGAACUGACUCUAGCCUUGCUUCAAUUGUAGUAACUGGAACUCCAACCGUUCCCAUCAUGGUGAAAACAUUGGCUAUGGAUGUAAAACAUCCACCACAACUUUCUGUAAGGCCUAAAAUUGUAAUACGAUACAAGCUCAUUAAAAGAAUUAUUAAUACAUUGUGUUCUUUUCAAAGUUUGAAAUUUUUGCUUCAAUUCCUCCCAAAAAGAGAUAAGAGAGUUUCUCCUUUUUCUUUCACUUAAUGAAAAUAGUCGCUUGUUAAGAAAAAAAUGCAGCUUCUUCAAGAAUGACAUUGCUCAAUGAUAACUAGCACUAAUUUUUUACCGGAGACAAAGACUUCAAUUAUAUUCAGGUGAAUCUACUCUGAUUAGGUAAAAACAAAAUAAAUAGCAUCUUGCAUACCAUAUCCUUGGCUUAGAGUUGCACAACUGGUAACCCUCAGGAACUCUUCCACAUGCCUAGGCAAAGGUGCAGCACCAGAUAAAAAAAGGCGAACUCUCCCACCAAAUGCUUCUUUUAUCUUUCAAAAUAUAACAGCACUUUAAUUAUGUAAAAGAAGCCUUACAUUUAAACGAACCAUACACAAGAUAAAUGACAAACCUUGUCAAAUACAAGCUUGUCCAAGAGAGGUGCUGCUUUUUCCUGGAGCAGACCCUUCUUCAGAUAUCCUAGCUUGCUAUUAGCACUCUGUUUGUAAGUUACACUAUAGGUGAUAAUACAGGUAAUUUAAACCAAUAUAAUAAGUACAGAAUUCAAACGUACUAAAUGUAUGCAUAAUCGAAUAACAUCUUCCGCAAACUGCCUCCAGAAGAAACUUUGUUCAGAAUACCUAUAACAAUAAAGGUUGUGGAAAUUACUUAAACCACGUAAUUUCAAAACAUUAAGUAGUAAUCAAAUUAUGUAGAUAAAACAAGAACAUGUAUUGUACCAGAAUAAAUACGAUCGUAAACUCUAGGAACUCCAGAAAAUAUUGUUGGCUUCAGUUCCUGAAUAUCAUCUAGUAAAAACCUGAUGUCCUGCAAAUUUACACAGAAACAACUACAUAAGUUCAAAACAUAAGGGCAUGAGGUCGUAAAAACAAGAACUUCAACUGAUCAAAAUUACCCCACGCCAAAACCCAAUAGAUGAACCCUUGUAGAUGCAAUAGGUCUCCAUUAUCUGAUCAUACACAUGAGCUAGUGGAAGAAAUGAGAAAUAUGAAUCUUCUUCUGUCGCCUGUAAUGUUACCAUCGUGUAAUUACUACAGUUGUCAUGCAAAAUAUGAGAAAAAUGUGAUAGAACAUUAAUCAAACUACAUCGGCACAUAGUCAUUUAAGAACUCCCACAAUUCCUUCAUCAGGUCAAAAUUUAUAGUUGGCUGCUUACCACUUUAUCUGUCAAUAAAAGUAGGUGCUCCACAGACAAGACUUCGGCCAUUACAGCUGUAUUAUUGAGGAUAACACCUUUUGGUUCCCCUGUGGUUCCACUUGUGUACAUUAUCGUGCAGAUAUCGGUUUUCUGUUUUGAAGGGAGUUCACAGUCCAAGCUUCCCUGGAGCAAAGUAAAAAGAAAAAAAAUAGAUAUGCUGCUAUGGUGCUAAUGAUAAGACAAUAAAUGGUUGAGAAAAAAACGUAUAGUACCAACUGACAGAACUCCUCCCAAGAAAAGCAAGACACUCCCAGUUCUUCAGCUUCCUUCUUAAGUACGCUCGAAACAUUGGUAAAACUGACAAUAGCUGUGAACCAAAAUGAUACACAAUGGUUAGAGUUACAAAUUACAAAACUCUAGAAAGAAAGUGUACUUCAAGUUCUAAACUAAUACAACAUACUUUUUAAUUGAUUUGAACACCUGGGAAGGCAUGAAAAAAUCUGCACAAUGAACAAAAUGGAGGGAACAUUUAGAAUUGGCCGUUAUACAUUUAUACUUCCCGCUGAAAAAAAUGGAGUUUUGUUCAAAAACCAAUUAUAUUUUUUAAAAAUUUCUGUAUCUCAUGCGCGGAAACAACAUACAUUUAAUAAAUAAUUUUUUUUAUUUUUAUAUCGUUUGCCACACCAGGCAAAAGAAAACAAACUAUGUGCAUAUUUUGGCACUUAGCACUCAAAUCCCAGGGCUCUCUAUUGUGCCUCCAUUUUCCAGUUUAAAAUACACUAACACCAAACAUAAAGUCCAUGGAACAACUUAAAUAAUUAGCAAUAUAAAAGGGGUAAGAAUGAUAAGGUUAGCAGCAUGGAGACGUACAGAAGCAAGUUUGUUUUCUUGAACAAAAGCAAUUGAAACUUCAGCGUGGUUAAUGAUGAACUCGACAGCAUUAGCACCUGUAACAGUUUGAUUGUCAAUACAGGAGCUCAAGCUACUAUUCUCUUAUUCUUAAAGUUCAAAAGAUGCCAGAAAGAAAAUGGAACCAUACCAAGCGUGUCAUACAGCGGCACAUAAGUGAUAGCUUGGCUAUUACAGGCCUGUAGGUAACAAAGGGUACAUCAAAUUCUCAAACAUCAGUGUUAAGAGCAGAGGAAAUGAGAGCACUAGCCUAUCAACUUAAACUUUCAGCAUGAUAUCAAAUUCAAAUUUUCCGUAAAUGUCAUAGAAAUAAUACUGUUCCCCCAUUUUAUAUUCAUAGUCUAAUGCUGUCCUGAUAUUUUAGCUAAGGCCCAACAGAAAAUAUAGAAAAAAAUAUUAAAAUAAUUUAGAAGCUCAACUUUUGAAUCAAAUGAUGGUUUUUACUUCAUGAGAGAGAACUUGAAAAGAAAUAACAUGAAAGGAGGGGAAAUGAGCCAACAGUCCAACAGAAUUGGCGGAUUUAGCCCACACAUUGGUCAUUGUCCCCCUAAAUCUCAACCUCAUAUACAUCGUCAAAAACACAAAAUUGCAUACCUCCAUCGAAAUUAUCCAUUCAGGGCAAUUGGAACCAUAUAUACCACAGCGAUCGCCCUAUAAAACCCAAAAAAGGAACCAGUAACAGCAGGAAAAAACAUAAUUCCACUAAGCAUAGUUCCAAUUUAGAACAAUAAUAGAAAAGUAAGAACUUCUAAACACAUCCACUUCACUGAACAACACUUGGACUUACAGAAUUAACCCCACGCUUUCUAAUUGCAGAUCCCAUCCUGAUUGCAGCAUCAUAUGCUUCUUGAUAUGUGAGCCAUACAUAGGAACCCGCCUGCAAAGUUCAAUAAAAAAAAAAAAAAAACAGUUCCAAUAACUCGAUUUCAGCUUUUAGAUUUGAUAUUUGAUUUUCAUCAAGACUCAGAGUUGGCUGGAAAUUGUUACCUUAGAGUCGCCGUUGGUUUGCCGACGACCGAGCAUUGGGUUGCCUGGAUUCCUCUUGACGGAAUCACUGCAAGACACAAAAUCAUAUUGUUGGGCGAUCAAAAAUUCAUAUCAUGGCUAGGAAAUGCGAUCACUUCCUCAAAUGGUGCGUUUGAUUUUAAUCAACUACAGAAUCCAAAUUUGUGUGCACUUAGCACUGAUACUGAUACUGAUACUAAUACUAAUAGUCACUCAUAAACAUUAACUACCCUCACCCUCUCUCUCUAUCUAUUGUUAAUAGAUAUAUAUUCCCACUAAUACAUCCAAGUCUACUAUCAUUUAUUCUCCUAAUACACAAUUAAAUUUUGUUAUAUUUAUAUUUAUCUUUUAAAAUUAUUAUUCUUCUAAUUCUUUUAAUUUGAUUAAUUAAUUAUUAAACAUCACAUUCAAGAUAUGGCUACAAUGUUUUAAAGUUUAGAAAUACAAAUUGAAAUAUAACUCAAAUCUUUUACCAUUUUGGAACUUUUAACACAAAAAUCUACCUUUUAAAUCUGCCAUCAAACUAAAUCUAAAUAAAAAAAACAAAACUAUAAUACUUAAUUAAGUCCAUGAAGGAAAAAAAAGGCCACAACAUGAAACUGUAAUUGUAGACUGAAUUGGAUGUAGUUACUUUUUCAUAUGAAAAUGUCCAAAGAAAAGAAAUGGGAAACCUGAAGAAUUGCCAUGGAGAUUGAAGUUCAUCAGGCAAUUGCAGAAGUCCAUCUUUGGCGUAGAUGCUCCGGUAGACUGGCCCUGCGGAUGGCCUUCCGCCGCUCUGGGGUGUGUCCGCUUCGACGACCACCGUGUACGAUGUCGACAUUGUGAUGAAGAAAGGCGCUGUGUGCUGCAAAAUUGAUGAAAUGGUUUUGAAGAGGUAGCAGUGACUUUAAUACAAUUUGAUCUUUUAAACACACAAGAGAUAUGGGGGUGUUGGGAAGGUUAUUGGUUGGUUGAGCUCAGCUAAAUGCAUUAAAUUCUCAGCAAUACUACACCACCUUUGUCCUCAUACCCUUCAUACUAUUUUCUACAAUCUCUUAUUAAUUUCAUAUCUUUCUUACUUUAAUUAAAUACUUUAUAAGUUACCUUUUACAUAUCAAUUAUUCCAACACUUCCUUUCUUUUUCAAUAUUUGAUAAAUUGAUCGUAGAUUUGGAAUUUGUAUCCAAUUGUUAGUAAAGAAGAGAUGUCCAUUGUAAACAAGGAAAAUAAAUAUAUAUUAUGUUUACUACAUAAAGUGAUAUUCUACCCCUUAUUGUAAGCACACACUUUUAGGUUACUAUACACUUUUAAGUUUAUUUGUUGCAAACUAAAACCAUCUACAAGGUUUUCCUUUUUUUAAAAGAGAAGUUGCAUUAUCCUUAGUUUAUGAGAGAGAUGGAUAGUUGGUCAUUCAUAACUAAUAAACAAAAUUCAUUUGAAAUCUCAUCACUCAAAAAUCAAAAUCAUAAACUUUCAAACACAUUAUAAAAAAAGGACAUAAAAGGCAAAUUGUCAACUUCAAGAUCUCUUUAACGUAUUAUAAAAAUAACUAAGGCCAAAUUGUAAAAAUUUGCCUUUAAAAUACGAUGGUAGUUGUAACUAUAUUUCUAAACUUUCACUGAUAAAAUUUAUCCAAAUUUUAAAAUCUUCCUCCUAAACUUAUGUAUCUGUCUUGAUUAUAUAAGUUUUAAAUAUUCAAAUUUUAUUACUGGUAAGUUGAGUUUUCCAGUAUUAUUAUAAACUUGACAGACUAGUUUGAAGCCUCUUAAAGAAGAGUUGAUAUUGGCUCCUAAUUGGAAAAGAAGAAAAAAGAAAAGGUGGAGUGGGUAAUAGAGUAAGUGUGACAUUAAAUAUAGGUAGAUAUGAUGGUAAAGCGUUGAAAAAUGGGAAUCCCCAAAACCAAUCCCAACUAAUAUAUAAUGUGCAUAUAUUAAUUAACUUCAUCCUUUCCAGCCUCCCCUUUAAUGAACCAUGCCAAACAAAUAUAAAUAUAUAUAUAUAUACACAUACAAAAUUUAAAGCACAUCUCAGUUUUUUUAUCUUCAUUAAAAAGAGACAAAGGUAAUGUUUUUUCAGUAAAGUUCUUUUUUUCUUCUAAACCAACUAAAAGCUUAUAAAGUAGAGGGUAAACAUAAGUUUACGUCCCAUUUAAUGACAACAAAUUUGCACUGCCAACUUUGGUGGCCGCCUCAUUUUCCAUCUAAUGCAAAACCUUGAGUUUUUUUUAGUUUGAUAAUUGAUACAUCUACUUCCUUUCUAUUCUAUUGUAGUAAGCCGUUUAUGUAAACUAAAAUUUUGUAAAUGUUGUCUAACAAGAGACACGAUGCUUUUUAAAACUACGAUACUUUUCUAAUAAGUCUUCAAAUGUUUAGAAAUUUGUAAUGUUUAGGAGAAGAAGAAACACCAUUUAUUUUUAAAUUAUUGAUCUAUUGUUCCAUCGAAUUUUUAAUCUUGCUUUUUAAUAUAGAAGCUAAAUCAUUAUAUAAAAAUCUUAUAAAUUGAAAAGUAUGGAGACUAAACCCUAAUACGUUCAAAUUCUAAAACCAAUAAAGUAUAUACAAGGUGUGAUUUAGUUUAUAUUUUUAAAUCUUUAGAAAAAUAACUAUUUUUAUCCUCUCUUUUUUUCUCUUGUAAGCCAUUGCUGUCAAAUUAUAAUAACAAAUAGUUGAUUUGAUUUUGAUUAUAUAUUAGGAGUAUUUAACAAUAAAAUAAGGAAGACACUUUUUAAUAGUCAAUUUACUAAAAUGGAUCUUAAUUGACCAAAAAUAAAAUAAGCCUAAAUGUAAGAACAAAAGUGAUUUUGUUUUCAAUUUCAACCCUUAAAUCUUUGGGAGGGCUUAGGGUUUUCUUUUUUUCUCACUAAACUAUAUUUUAAUUGAAGUAAAAAUUUAAACAAAAAUAUUAAAUGAUGUAAUUGAUCUAACAUAAAAUAUAUAUUUCCUUCCUUAAACUACUUGUGAAAGAUCAAACAAGUUAAUUAAUAUUCCUAAACUUUUUCGUUCUACACUACAUUGUUUUUUUAUCGAGACCGACAAGAUUUAAAUCUCUAUAAUCUAUAUUUACUUGAAGAAUUUGAAAACGAAAUAGUUUGAUGAGAAGUAUCUAAAAUGUUUUGAAAAUAUUAGUGGUUAUAAAUAAGUUUGAUAGUUCAAGUUAACAAAUUGGCGAUUCAUUUAACUUUAGUUUAACACGUUGUCAUUUUGACUAAAGACCGGAAAGUCUAAUCAAUUGCCUUGUAUAAGUUAGAGACUUAAUUGAUAUAUAAAAUUACAAAUCUAUGUUAUGUUUAUCCGAACGAAUCAUAAUUGAGUAAAAAUCUAAGAUUUUAAUUAGUAUUAUUAAUUUACCGUUUAUCAAUUUAAAAACGCAAUUUGUUUACGCUAUAGAUUUGUUUUAGUGGACUCGACGCGUAAGUAUUUAUUUUUGCAUUGUUUAUAUAAAUAUGUGUUUUAAUUAUAAUAUAUAGUAGUUUGAAAGGGAAGGGACUUUAUAUUGUUGGACAAUCAUUUUACUAGAAGUUAGGUGUUUUAUCCAAAGCAACAGUGAUUUUGGUCAAAGUUAAUUUGUCUUUCUCAACAAAAAAAAAAAAAAAUGGAAAAUUAACUUUUUUUUAAAGAAAAAAAAAAAAGCAAAAGCUACUAAAAUACAAAUCUAUAAAUAUUCUUUUUUCUAGACAAGGUAAAAUUGGACAAAAGGCCAAACUUUUUUCUCAUGAUCUCUCUCAUCAAUGUGAUUGUAAAUAACUAUACCCUAAAACAAAUAUUGGUAACAUCCAAACUCUUGUUUGAAACAUUCCUCUACUAUUCUUGAUAGAUCAUAUUCUAAAAAUACUACAUAUCGUGGUCUUUAACAAAAUGAUUAUUAAAAAUGUGAAUAGAGUUUCAUGUCUUCCAUAAAUUUACUGUUCGAUAUUAUAUAUUUAUAAAUCAUAAAAUAUAUUUUUUUAAAAUAAAAAUAAUUUACAUGAUAUACUUAAUUUUAAACUUUUGACUUUAAAUUAUAUUAAUUCCAAUUUUAUAUCUAGUAGUGUUGUAAAAUGUUGAAUGGAUCAAGUAUCUAUUGCGAAAAGACACAAACUGAAGGUUUAGUAAUUCACUGAACGCUUUUUAAAGUCUAUCAAUCAAAUAGACACAAAUCUAAACGUUUUUAAAAUAACAUUUAAAUAUGGAAUAAGUAUAAAUAAUAAACAAUACCAUACCAACAUUUUGUAUAACAUAAUGAAAAACAAUAGCAAACAAUAAAGUGAACAAUUAAAUGUUAUUGACCAUAACUCGUUAAUAAUUGACGUGCACAUCAAAUCCUCAUACCAAUUACUCAUUGUACUAAAAACAAUAAUAAUUAACCUCCAGUGAGCACGUCUAUUUUUCUUUAUUUUUGGUUUCUUUCUUUUUCUUUUUUUAUGUUUAUUUUUGGUUUCUUUCUUUUUCUUUUUUUAUGUUUAUUUUUGGUUUCUUUCUUUUUCUUUUUUUAUGUUUGAAAAUGUUACAAUUUUAUCUUAAGUUAUUUACGUUAAUUUUCUAUUAAUUAACUUAAAAUAAUGAUUAAAAUUAAAUUGAAUUUCAUUAAUUAUCUAUUGAAUUAAAAACAAUGGAACAAUCAAUAUAUAUCUACAUCAUCAUGAUUGUUUUAGUUUAUUAAAGAAAAAUAAAAGUGUAAAAUUAGAAAAGGUUAUAAACCAAAUAAAAAGUAAACUCAUUGUAUGAGAGAAGGAAUGAAAAUAAAAGUAAGAAUUAAGAAAUUGAUGGGUAGAAAAUGGAAGAUUAGAGGAUAUAAAAAGAGAUUUGAGAAAGAGAGGGAGAGGGAGAGGGGAAAACAACAAUAAAUUGGUAACAAUAAUGCAGCUACCAAAUAUUGAUGUAUAAUAAAUGAGGGAUCAUUAAUUAGUUUCACCUUAUAAUUUUAUAUUUAGUAACAAAUUUAAUGCUAGAUCUUCUUGCAUCACCCAACUGGCCCCUACCACAAUUAUUUUUCUAUAUUUUUCUUUUUUUUACUUUUCUUUUUUUUCAAAAAAAUUAUUGUUGUUGUUUUACAUUUACCACCCUUUGUUCUAAUAAAAAUAUUCAAAACUUUAUUUUUAAAAAAAUAAUUUUAGAUUGGUGUAUAUAUGUUUAUUGGGUCAAUUGGUUAGAACUCAAGGUAGGGUUAGGACUUCUACUUUGGGAUGUAGAUUUCCCUAAGGUCGCCUAGUGGUUUUUCUUCGACUUGAACUUGUCUACACGCUAUCGACCUUAAUUAGCCUCGGACAACCUUGAACAAGUCUUUUAAGUUU
Molecule: long non-coding RNA, 87525 nt
Filed under: Cucumis sativus (cucumber)
Lineage: Eukaryota; Viridiplantae; Streptophyta; Magnoliopsida; Cucurbitales; Cucurbitaceae
Description: long non-coding RNA (CSAT_LNC000637)
Source: RNAcentral